AACAGAAUUUCAUUAAUUAAGCUACCACGGCCUUCAGGUUGUGUUUGUGAUCAACAAUCACACUGAAAAACUGAGUAACCUUCAAAAAAAUUGAAAUCCAUGAGUUGACAGGAUCUGAACAUGAAGUUUCUUUUGUGAAGCGACUAUUUGAUCGGGCAACAGCAGUGAACAAGGUGAUAAACUUCAGAGUCAUCAACCACUGAAAGCAAGGCCAGGAAUAUGCAUGGAGAAUGAUGCAUCGUAACCACAAGAAUGUACGUGUUAUAUGCACAUGAAUACUUCUAGUAGUAGAAUAUCAACCAUGGAGUUAUAUGUGUAUCAGAAUUUCGUAAUUUCUAUUUUGAUGCCUGCUGCAGUGCAUGACAACAUGAAAAUGCUAGCACGCAGCUCAUUGAAAAAUGUGGAAUCCAUUUACCUUAUGGUUUAUGCUUAUUAAUGUUGUGUUUCUUACACAUGGAACUUUUAAGUGUUCUUUUGACAAACAUUGUAAUGUUCAGAUACUAAGAUUAGAAAUACUGUUUCUUGUUGCCCAUCCAUAAUAAGCAUUUUAUUCAAUUUUUCAAUUGUAAUCAAGAUUUUUCAAAUAGAGCAUGUUGUACGGAUUGCCUCCAGGAUAGCUCGUGCAAUCAAAUAUUUUUUAAAGAGAAGUGACAUCGUAUUUCUAUGGAUCACUGCGAAUUCAUUUGCCCUUACCAUAAAUCUUGACAGAUGCCUUCAUGUGAUGCCAUUUUACAAAACCCUGGUUGUGCAUAUACAUCUUCUCCUAUGUGCUAUGUGUCAUAUUACAGAAGUGUUGAUUCAAAUCUAUAUUUUGAACUUCCGAUAAUUCUUAGUGCAAAAGCAUUUUGAUCUCCAAGAGAAUUUCAGAACUUACCAUUAAAUCCAUGAUUCACCAUCAGGUUGUACACCUUUCACUCCGCACCUAGAAUGUAAUGUGCCAUUCUUAUAUUUUUUUAAAAGAAAAUCUUUUUCAUGUGGACCAAAAUUCACUAUAGUUAUGGUAUUAUGGUCACUUUGUCAAUACCAUAGCCCUUCUCCGCCAAUCUUCGAGAGGCUGGAUGUGGUCAAGGUUUCCAAUUUCAUACAUCAUGUCAUCAAACCCACUGGUUAAAUACAAGGAUGAAUGAUUAGACAAGUUAAAGUUCGGUAUUGAUGAUUUCUUAGUGUGAUGAUCCAAAGCAAAGUUUAGGGGUGAUUUGGAGUUUUCCAAAGAACAAAGGGUUAAAAAGGGAAUACCAGCUGGCGCACGAAAAAUUUUGUGAACCACGCCAAAUCAGUCGCAAAUUCUGAAAUUUUUCCCAAAUUCUACAGCGAAAUGCUAAAAAUUCCAUUCCGUUCCCCACUCUCGAAUCUCGAUGGAGCUGAGCGGCGGAGACAGCGAGGGCGCCCCCAAGCGUGCGAAGCUCUCCUCCGGCGAUGCCGGCGGCGGCGAGGACUGCCUCAGCGCGCUCCCCGACGACGUCCUCGUCCUCAUCCUCCUCCGCCUCGACACCACCGUCGCCGCCCGAACCAGCGUCCUCUCCCGCCGCUGGCGCCGCGUCUGGGCUCUCCUCCCGAAGCUCUGCUUCCCCGUCGCCCCCGAGCCCCACCGCUUCCGCGACACCCUCGACACCCACGAGGAGCCCCUCCGCGACCUCCUCGUCGGGGCCGGGGGCGCCACCCCCGAAUCCCUGGCGAUCUGGCUACCCGCCGCCGCGCGCCGCGUCUCCGGCGACCUAACCCUUCUCACAUUUGAUCCGGGGAAAGACGCCGGGGAGGAGGAGGGGGAGGCCGCGCAAAGAGGCGCCUUUGAGCUCCCCUGCUUCGAGAAGGCCACCUCGAUCUCCCUCAUCCUGGGGUUCCACGGCCUCGCCAUCGCCAUGCCACCCACCGGCGUCUUCGCCCGGCUCACAGGGAUCUACCUGAGCUGCGUCCGGUUCCACGGCCCGUGCACGCUCGGCGACGCCAUGUCCUCGCCACGGUGCCCGUGCCUGCAGAGGCUCACCGUCGACGACUCCCGUGGACUGGGCGAUCUCACCAUCAACUCGGUGUCGCUGCUGCAAAUGGAGCUCAGGAACCUGCGCGGGUUGUGGCAGGUCACUGUUGUGGCGCCGGCGCUCACGGAGCUAACUGUGAUAUACUGCUUUCGCAACGAUGACACUCAACCGGUUGCAAACAUCUCAGCCCCUCAGCUGGUGAGCCUCGAGUGGAAAGAUGCGUAUGAUCCAAGCUCCGUCCAUCUUGGCAAGAUGGCACAUCUCCGAUGGCUGGGCACAUUUUAUCUUGUAUAUGGACAAGAUCGCCUUAGUCACAACCACUCUUGUUCAACGCUCUUGCAGCGCUUUGAGGCCAUUGAAACCCUUUUUCUCACACUGGCAUAUAUGCGGGUGAGAUUGCUUAUUCUCUUAUCUGAAAUUAUGCCAUCGUACAUAGUAUCAUACUGAUAUGUCAUUGUAACAUCUUUGAUUACCAGCUGGGUACAGCUGUUUGAAAUUGGAUAGCAAGAUCCGUCCAUUUUUCUGUGACAUGCCCACCAAGAAUGGUCCUAGGACCUAGGCUACCACACUGUAGAAUUCGCUCAGCCAUGCAUAUGAUUCUUUGUUUAGAAAAACUUUACAUUGAAGCAAACUUUACUGUUUUCUGAAUGCGAUAUAUAUGUAGAGUUAUGUAUAUCACUUGUCCUCGUGGUAUUCAUGUUGAAAUAUUCUCACUUGUUUUGCUUUGCGACUUUACUGAUCACACUCAAUUAUCCUUCUUUUCCAAUAUAAACCGGCCGGUUGCUUGUACUGGGAAGCUAAUCAAGGAAUUGAUGUAAUCCACUUCAAAUACUGUCAACGCUUCUAACGAGGGCGACACUCUCCGCCUCUUGCUUACCUCUCUUCCAAUUCCAAGCUCAUAUAUCAGUAUAGAUUACUAAGUUGGUCUAUACGGCCAAGUUGAGACAAACAAUCAUGUCCGCCAACCGGGAUGAACAAUGAAGCUUGCUUAAUUAAUUAGCACAUUAGUCCUAUUCAUAGAUAACAAUAUGCCAAGUGGUUAGAGCACGUACCGAAGCAGGUCCGGGUUCGCGAAUUACGACUUCACGUGGGAGCGAAUUAUACGAGUCUAAAAUUUAAAAAAAUAGGUAGGAGUUUCCCUAGCUGAUUUCAUUAAAAAAACAAUCUGCCGCCUGGAUCACUUGUUAUUACUAGUUUGUGUAUCUAUAUUUAUUAUAUUUGGAAAAAAAAACACCGUCUUGCGUAUGUGUACUGUGCUACGGUUGGCAACUUCCUCGAGGAUACAUGUGUAUAGCCCACAAAGUCAAAUGCAACGCUAGCUUCCCUCGUCAUUUGCGUCCAUGUGACAGCAUCUGCUGAACUAAGUUAUAUAUCACUCGGGCAUCCUCCAUUAAUUUCAUCGGUGCCUGGACGAAGAGAUGAGGCGAAAGUAUCUGAAACCCUCAAGUACUUUUCAGAUCCUCACUGAGUAUCUAUCCCAAACAAGCCUCCGAGCGCUUCAUCCAGCAACCUUCAAGUACUUUUCAAAUCCUCACUGAGUAGUUCUAGUACUCUUCGAGUAUUUUAUCUGGCUGAAUCUUCAAAGUGCUUCAAAGAUGCCAUAAGGCUUUGGUGUGCUCAAGCCCUUCAUCAUCUUGAUCUGUAAUUUUCAUCUUUGGAAUGUGAUAUGAGCCAUGCCAGCCCCCCUCAUGAUCUAUAAGUCAAAUGCAACGCCUCUCUCUCGGAAAACAAUUACAACGCUAGCUUUUCUCUCUCUACGUGAUAAGUUACUAUAAAUCUCUAAUUAACCCGUCGCACCUCUAGAACGUUCUUGUCUAUUAAAAAACAAUCCGCUGGCUGGAGUAUUUGUUUAUUGCAUCCAAAACUUUAUUAAUCCACUUGUGCUCCCUCCAUUAAUUUGGGGACGAAGAGAUCAAUAGCACCACACGGUAUCAAUAGCGUGUGCUUGGGGGAAAAAUCGCGUUGACCCCCGACAGCUCCCACUCCGAUUCCCCAAUCCCAUGGCGAUGCCCGCCGGAGCCAAGAGGGAGAGGAGGGCAAGGCUUGACGAGGAUGGAAAGGAAGAGCUCGUCGACCGCAUCAGCCGCCUCCCGGACGACGUCCUCGGCAACAUCGUCUCCUUCCUUCCCACCAAGGAUGGCGCCCGCACGCAGGUACUCUCCUCCCGCUGGCGCCCCAUCUGGCGCUCGGCUCCUCUCAACCUCGAAAUCAGCAUCGCCUACGUCUCGCGCAUCCUCUCCGCGCAUCAGGGCCCCGGCCGCCGCUUCUGCACUCAGUUCCCCUACCUCGACCCCAGCGACCGCUCCGCGACCCUGGACCGGUGGCUCCGGUCCCCCGCCCUCAACAGCCUCCAGGUGCUCGAGUUCCACCUCGGCAGUCCGCUUCAAAAUCCGCCGCUGCCGGCAUCAGUACACCUCUUCUCGUCCACCCUUCGCGCCGCCAGCUUCGGCUGCUGCGCUUUCCCGGAAGGAAACAGCGCCAGCCCGCUUCACUUGCCACUUCUCAAGCAGCUAAGCCUUUUUGAUGUCAGAAUCUCGGAAACUUCUUUCAAUGCCUUGCUCGCGGCCUGCCCUACCCUUCAAAGCUUGCUGCUAACUAACAUCUCGGGCUGCUCUCGCGUCCAAAUUGUGUCCCAGAACCUUAGAAGCAUUGGUUUUCUUCGUACUUUUUAUCGUGAUGGACACACCAGUUUGCAACAACUCAUCAUCAAGGAUGCCCCAUAUCUAGAAAGGUUGCUUUGUUUUGAAAAUGGUUCUGGCAUGGAAGUCACCGUUGUCUCGGCACCACAAUUGCAUGUUUUGGCACUACAUAGUGUUUACAACCUCAGACACUACGUUGGCAGCACAACUUUUCUGUUUGGUAGAACAGCUUUUCAGGUAUCACCUCCCUUGUCACUUUAAUAUUCGUGACGGAUCCAAGACCCUUUUUUCGAACAAACAAUCAAAGUCCCCUUGUCUGAUCAUGAUGUUAAACUUUGUAUUAUGUACGUGCUUUACUCAGAGAUCAUGCAUUCCUAGCUCGACGACGGUGGUUCACAGCAUGAAGGUCUUAGCUUUAACCCAGCCGGAUCUUUGUUUGGAUAUGGUUAUUAACUUGUUGAAAUGCUUCCCCUGCUUAGAGAAGUUGUACAUCGAGGUGAUUAAACUUUUCCUCCAUAAUAGGGAGGUGUCCUCUGCAUUCUUUUUCCUCCAUUCUAAUGCUAGGUCAUUACUAUUGUCAUGUUCAUUUUGCCUUUUCAGACACAGAAAGCAGGGAAGAAAAAUACUUGGUGUCAUAAAUACAAGAAUCUUAUUGGUACCAUUGAAAUUCAUCUGAAGAAAAUUGUGUUGACAAACUAUCGGGGCAACACAUCACAUGUUAACUUUGCCAAGUUCUUUGUUUUGAAUGCGAGAAUGCUACAGUCAAUGAGGUUUGAGUUAUUUGAUCAAAAUCCCAGCACCGCAUGGAUUGAGAAACAGCAUGGACUGCUCCAAAUAAAAAAAGCUUCAAGGGUCAUACAGUUUGAUUUUGUGGCUAAAAACAGCUGCUCUUUGAUGCUUUCCAUUGAGUUUGCGGGGCAAGUACAUGAUUUGUUAACAGCUGACCCCUUUGUAAAGCUUCAUAAUUGGACAUGAUUCCUUACGACGACCAUAAAAACCCUCUUCUCCUGACUUGGAGGUAAUGCUAUCCUUUUCUUUUCUAAGACUUGAGUCAACAUGGAAGUGAUGGAAUGCAAUCUACAUAUGCAUUUCUUGGCACACCAACUCCUGGUCUGCUAGUUGCCCUACCAACCUGAAGUUUAUAGCUUCUCUAUAUGAGCUAUUGAUAGAACCACGCAUAACCAAAAUGGUUUAUGCCUGAAGAUUCAGUUGUAAUUUUAGCCAACGUUCUUUGCGGUAAACCAGAUAGUAAAACAAGAAGUUAUUUUAGCAAUAACAGUCAUAGUUCUGCAAUUUGUUAGAGCAACUCCAGCAAUAGUCUAUACUUGAGAUCCCUACUUUUCUAAGUAGGAGCAGGGGCUCUUCCAACUUUUUGGGGCUGUAAUUUUCACCAUCAACUCCAGCAACAACCCCUACUGCUCAGCCCCUACUAUUGGUCUUAUAGGUAGGGUCCAUCUGUCGGUGUCCUUUCAUCUAUCUUCUUCCUCUGCUCUCUCUCUCUCUCUCUCUGUGGCACUCUUCCUCUCUACCUAAAUUGACGAGCUCAGGGUGUUGCUUGCCUCUACGCCGGCCAAAACGGCUCGGUCGGGCCAUGGGCGAGCUUUGCUGGCGGUGGGAGCAGAUGUGCUUGGAGCCGGCGCAGUCGGCCCGCUCGCGAUAGGAGCAUGAGCUCCGCCGCUGCCAAGAGCUCUCCCUCCAUUGCUUCGGCCUCGAGCUCUCCAUUGGCUACCUGAAGCUUGAGUUCUCCCACCAACCCGUCCUCGUGGGAUCUGGGGCACGCACGCUAAAGGACGAACUAGGAGGAGCUCCAUCGCGAGCUUGAGGGAGAGUGGCACGGGCGGCUUGACUGGAUUCGGCUGGGCUGUGCCGACGACCACAUAGGCCAAGGUCCGUUAAGGAAGAGGCGCGCGUGAUGGUGGCGUUCUUGGGAAGGUAGAUCUAGAGGAGGGGGAGGGGAGAUGACUGCCGGUUGCGAUUUGGAAAGUGGCGGAGCUCUCGAGCGGCGGCGGUGCUCCAGCCGUACGAGCGAAGGCAAGACAGGCGGGAGGAAAACGACUGCAACAGAAAAGUAGGGGCCUCCCUAGCCACCCGUGGGAGGAGGGGAGGGGAAAAGUAGGGUCCUCUCUAGAGUAAGGACCCAAGUAGGGAUCCUUUUGGAGUGGGUUUUUUCGCCCUCGGCCUCUACUUUUGAGCAGGGGUUUGAGUAGGACCCUUGCUGGAAUUGCUCUUAGCUUUUGCCAACAUAUCUGAAAAGUAGAAAUUCAUGAGUUCAAAGGAUCUGACAAUGAUGUUUUAUCUGUUAAUUUUAGUAAGAUUUGGUCCUCUUUGCAGGAACUGCAUUCUCAUCAGCUUUCGUAUUUGUGGCCAGUCAUGAAAACCAUGGAACUCAUCUCCUCGAUGAAGAGAAAUCCACGAGGGAUCUGAACAAGAUGUUUCUUUUGUAAUUUGACUCUUCAGUCGGUUGGGACUGCUGCAAAAGUUGGCGGUUAGCAUUGUCAAGGAACUAACCGCUACUAGUACCUUGUGAUCUAAAGCCCCUCUGAGCUUGGUGCGGUAUGCUGUGACUGUGUGCCAACGUACUGAAACCUUGCAAUGAUAUGAUAGCCCAUGUACCUACAACUCUUUAUCCCCUUUGGGGCUUUGCAAAACGAAUUGAGUUGCAUUCUGUAACACUAAUGGCAAUAGUUUUGGGUUUUAACUGAGUGUUUCACUAUUUGGAUUGCAAAUUUGUGUUAUUUUUAAGUUACUGUCAGCCUUUUUGAAAUAUACGUCAGCCUUUCAUUAAAAAUAAUACAUUGCAGCGAUCGAGCAUGAAGUUAACAGCAUUGUUGCAUGUGAGGCUUGAUCUUGAUAACAGAAUUAGGAGUUAGGAAAUAAUAGCAUAUAUGCGUUGGUACAUAAAAAAACACUGGCAAUAAUUUCUCAAAUGCCCCUAACUUGUUGAAGUUUCUGUACUUCCAUCGGAUAACCUAAACCCUAUGGUGGAUUGAAAAUCUUCUUUAAUAUUAUUGACAGCAUAAUCAUACCCCCUAUACCAUUUUCUCUUAGAUAGGGCAAUCGUAUUAUAUUCUGCAAACUGACUGCUUCAAACUGGUGUCCAGGAGGGAUCCUUUUGCAAAUAUUGUUGGCUUUGGUUGCAUAUUUGGGCAAUCCGAUAUUGUUCAAAUUUCCUGUCUUUAUAUUCCAAUCCAACAGUAUCAGUUAAUCUCAAAAGGUUAAUACCUUGUUCCAGGCACAAACUACAUGCCCAUCAGGUUGCAUAUGUGGCGAGCAACGAAACUGGAGAGCCGAGCAACUCUUGUUGAAUCGCCUCCAAGAAGUAGAAAUCACUCGGUUGAGAGGAUCUGAACAUGAGGCUACAUUUGUGAAGCAGCUAUUCAAAUGGGCGACCGUAUUGGAAAAGAUGAUGGUAACUUUCGAUUAUUCAGUUACUGAAAGCAUGGCCAAAGAGUUGUGCCAGGUGGCUUCUCUAGUCCAAAAAUGCGCAUGGAAUUUUACAUAUAUCAGGACAUGAUCAAAGUGUUGUAUGCACCCAAAGACCAAGGCGGCCGGAUUAUCACUUUAAGCGCAUUUCCGUAGUUUCCUUCUUUGAUAUGUACUGCAAAUGCUAAUUUGAUCCUUUUUGGUGUCAAGAGCUGGUGCCUCAAACUGACUGGAAAAUAGAAAGCCUUUUUGGCAUCAAUGAUGCUGUCAAGUCAUAUUGGGCUGGUAAGACUAGGACACGUGGGGACGGAAUUCCUAUCCAUCUUCCGGAAGGAGUGAGCACUAGCGAUUUUUUUUCUACGUGCAAGGCGUACUGCUGCUCUCUAGUUAGCGGGCCGUGUGCUGCUGCUAUACUGGGCUUCCGUGGGCUGUGCAAUCACUAGAGUUUCUAUCGCAUGGAAGAUAGAUAGGAGGCCCCCACCCAGGGAUGUUUACCCCUGAACUUCAACUUGCAAUGCAGGUGAAGAAAUGAAUAUGGUUCCUUUCGUGUUUAUAAGUAACCAAUUGCGCUGGGGGACUAAGCCGCUGCCGCCAUCGGUGCUCCGCUUCUCCUCCACCCUCGCCGUCGCCAGCUUCGAAGGAUGCGUCUUCCCGGAUUGUGGAAACAGCAAUAUUGCUAGCAGAGAGCUCAACCAGCUUCUCAACCAGCUGAGCCUUGUGAGUGUCAGAAUCUCAGAGACCUCUCUUCAUGCCUUGCUCGCGGGCUGCUCUGUCCUUGAGAGCUUGCUGCUAAAAGACACCAAUGGCUUCCCUCGAGUCCAGAUCAUGUCCACAGCCUCAGAAGCAUCGGUGUGUGUUCUCUUUGGGGAGACGACAGGUUGAGGUAGCUCAUCAUCGAGGAUGCCCCAUCUCUAGAAAGAUUACUAAUUUUCAAAGGCAGGGAGAUGGACAUCUCGGUAAUAUCUGCGCCGAAAUUGAAAAUUUUGGGGAAGCUUUCUAGCAUAUCCCCCAGGCUCCAGUUUGGCACCACAACUUUUCAGGUACCAGCAUCAUUCUAACUUCCACCUUCAUGAGCAACCGGGAUAAAAGACCCCCCCCUCCCCUUUUAUCCCAGUUUGAAACACCAACCAGGAUAAAAGACUCUUUUAUCCCGGUUGGUAUUACAAACCGGGAUAAAAGACUCUUUUAUCCCGGUUGGUAUUACAAACCGGGAUAAAAGCUCUCGACCCUUUUAUCCCGGUUGGUGUUACCAACCGGGAUAAAAGGGCGGGUCUUUUAUCCCGGUUGGUGUUUCAAACUGGGAUAAAAGGCCUCUCAGGGUCUUUUUUUUUUCCACUAGCCUUUGCAACCGGGAUAAAAGGUCGCGGUUGGUGAGCCCCCCACCAAUGACCGAGCUUUAGUCCCGGUUGGUGAAACUUUUGUCCCGGGCCAACUUUAAACCGGGACAAAAUGGGACGCAUGGAAGGUGAGUUCUCUACUAGUGUAUGAAUUGUAGCAAACCAUGGAUUACCAUAGUUUUUCCGGUUUACGUAUAACAGUUUAUUUGAAAUAUUAAAAGCAUACAUCGUUUCAAACUUAUACAUUAUCUCUAUACAUUUAGAAAAGUAUGACUAGAGCAUGCUUAAAGGAAGUACAUAGACUGUUCAUGGCUGAUAUUUAUUUAUCACCGUAAGAUCAAGUAUAGCUGAUAACUGUUGAAUUGAUCAUCAUCUUCAGGAAUAGCAGGCUACAAUUACUUUUGGCAUGCAAACUUUGCCAAAAAGAAAAUAGAGUGCAUAUAUUGGCAACUAAAUUUGACACCUCUCGUAUGGGUGAUCAUGUGAUUGAGCAAUGUUGUGUUUUGAAUAUUUAAUUUGACCGAUUAAUUGAUCCAUGAAGAUGGUGAUCGGCCAGUCAAGGGUUUCGGUCAUCGUCUGGCAACACAUUGACAUGGCGGCCGUCGUCAACGUGUGAUUGGGCCAGAAAUUAGAGCUGCGGUGGGCAAAAAAAAUGAUUGGGCCAGAAAAGCAUUCGCAGAAGCCGAACUACAUCAGUGUACUUCGCGGGAGCGGCCGUCUUUCUUCCCCACCUGCCAAGCCGCGCCGCCAGCGCCAUGGGGGUGACCACGAGAGCCAAGAAGAGGAGGCUGGAGGAAGAACAAGAGCUCAUCCACCGCAUCAGCCGCCUCCCGGACUGCGUCCUUGGCAACAUCUUUUCCCUCCUCCCCACCAAAGACGGUGCCCGCACGCAGGUCCUCUCCUCCCGGUGGCGCCACAGCUGGCGCUCCGCUCCCCUCAACGUCGGCGUUGUCAUCUACGAGGACGACCCAACAAUUCCUCUCGACGGCAUCUCCCGCAUCCUCUCCUUGCACCCAGGUCCCGGCCGCCGCUUCUCUAUCCGCUCCGACAGCUGGGCCAUGGCAUGGCUGGCUCCGGUUUCCCUACGUCAACAACAUCCAGGAGCUCGAGAUCCACUUCCACUGUUGGAAUUAGAGGCAUUUUGCGAUUAAUUUUAAUCCGAAAUAUAGAAUAAAAUAUGACAAUAAGGAUAGCAUAAAUAGGAACUUGAUCUAUUGUAUUUGCAAUGAACAUAAAGCAUGCAAUAGAUACUAUGAAACGCAAGAACUGAAUCAGGACGUUCAUAAGGGACUACCCUAAGGCGGGGCUAGUUCUGGAGAAAUCAGAUACGCCAUUACCCAACAUCAUUAGUUGAGUUUGUUCGAAGUAGGUGAUUAGAGGUUGAUGCUGUGCAGGUGAACGCAAUGCAUUUGCGCCUUCAGGAAGUAAAAUGUGCACAGCAAGCAGUCGCGCAGAUGCGCUCCCCAAAAGCUUGAUCACCCUAAUACUCCUCGGGUGCAGAGUCUCUGGCAAAGGGCGCAACUUCGAAGGUCUUCUCUUCCAGCGAAAUCCGUGCACACAGAUCACCGGAAUGGAGACAGCAAAAAUGUAGCGCAACAGUGGAGGAAAGCUCUGGUGGUUUGUGUUUUCGUGUACGAAAGAAGGAGAAGUAGCACCUCUCUUGUAGGCACCAGAAGACCCUUGGAUGCCCAGGUUAAUGCAGCAAUCAAAUGGUCAGUUUCUAGUAACUGCCAGCCAUUAGCAGUCAGCAGUUACUAGUCAUUUGUUAUCAACUAUUCAAUCAUCAAUUACUAGUCACUAAAUGUGUGUCCGUUACUUUUCAUCAACUAUGAUCAAAAAUUGCAAAACCUGACCAAGCCCACACAUCACAUCACGUCCAGUCAUGUCACGUCGCGUCUCGGCUCGGCUCGGCAUGGCACGGCUUGGUGAUGAGAGCGAGCGCGCGCGUGUGUGGCAUCCUGCCAUCCCUCCCUCAACUUGUCAACAUGUGCAGCACGGCUCCACCUUAUAAGUUGGUUAUAGAUCCUCUCAACUUCCAAGUUGGUUUUAUUCUAUUUGUAACUACCACCACUAAUGGGCCUUGGGAUAUAUUUGAUCAAUUAAAUAAUGGGCCAAAAACCCAAUUAUGCUAACAAUCCCCACCAAAUUCCAAGGCUCAUUUGGGAAUUUGCUCCAUUGCUGUUGGAUAUACCAGUGUUUCGAUGGAGACAUGAAUAAGGUUGAACAUCCACCUAGAACAUAAGCUACAUUUAUCCACAACUGAACAAUGGACUAUACCUUGAAUUGUCAGUUUUGUGCAAGCAAGUUUCACUUAAGUCCUUUACCGAUACUAGGCUGCAAAAUGCAUCUCCUCUUGUUGAAGCAUGUAAGUCUUACUUUUGGGCCUUUCAUGAGUCUCUAGAGAUUACCCAAUCUCAUAGACUGUGACUAACAAUCAAACUCAUAUAGGUGUGUUCCUCUAAAGAUGUUUCUGCAGAUUAACAUCUUUGCUUAAGCCACUCGGAUCAUAUUAAGGUGUUUACCAACCUGCCAUGCAAAUUUAGAUAAGAUUGCAUCUCCAACGGAGUGGGUUCCUACAAUAGUACUCCCCUUCUCAGUUAGUCAAAUAGCUUGUUUCACCAUUCUAGUUCACAGGAUCUCCGAUCAAAUAGAAUAGGUUACCACUAUGACUUAACUCUCAUGUGGGUCUCAUUCCCAUCUCCCUCGAUGCCUCGUCUAUCACAUUUUGUGAAAGACCUUUCGUGAAUUGAUCUACCAGAUUUUUAGCUGUUUGGACAUAGUCCAGUGCUACCACUCCGGAGUUUCUCAUCUUUCUGACAGACUUCAGUCGCCUCUUCACAUGUCUUGAUGACUUCAUAUUAUCCUUAGAACUGUUCACCUUGGCAAUCACUAUUUGAUUAUCACAGUUCAUUAGAAUAGCUGGUAUCAGUUUCCCAACCACUGGCAAAUCCGACAAAAGAUCACGAAGCCAUUCAGCCUCAACUAUGGUGGUAUCCAGUGCUAUGAGUUCUGCUUCCAUUGUUGACCUCGUUAAGAUGGUUUGCUUGCAAGACUUCCAAGAAACAGCACCACCUCCAAGCAUGAACACAUAUCCACUUGUGGUUUUUAUCUCAUCAGCAUCUGAUAUCCAGUUUGAGUCACUAUAGCCUUCCCGUACCCUAGGAUACCCAGCAUAAUGAAUUCCAUAACUCGUUGUGCCUAUUAGAUAGCGCAUUACUCUCUCAAGAGCAUGGCAGUGAUCAUCUCCAGGAUUUGAGACAAAUCUGCUGAGUUUGCUCACAGCAAAUGAGAUGUCAGGCCUCGUAGCGCUGGCUAGAUACAUUAGCGAGCCAAUGAUUUGAAAAUAUCUCAAUUGAUCCCUUGCGAUUCUACAGUUUUUCCGCAAUAUCACACUGGAAUUGUAAGGCGUGGGAGCAGGCUUGCAGUCACUAUAACCAAAGCAACUCAAGAUCUUCUCCACAUAAUGGGAUUGCAAAAGUGUAAUCCCACCAUUACCUUCUCUCAGGUUCAAAAUUAGAUCAGCCACUCCCAUAUCUUUCAUCUCAAAACUUUGAGACAAAAAUCUCUUAACCUCCUCAAUCACAUUGAGAUUGGUAUCAAAGAUCAAUAUGUCAUCAAUAUACAAACACAAGAUCACUCCUUUUUCCCCACCAAAAUGGUAGAUACGCACUUGUCGGCUUCAUUCACAACAAAGUCGGCUGACUUGAGAGUCUUGUCAAACUUCUCAUGCUAUUGCUUAGGAGCUUGUUUCAGACCAUACAAAGAUUUUAACAACUUGUGCACCUUUCCUUCAUGACCUUCUACUACAUAACCAUCAGGCUGAUCCAUAUAAAUUUCCUCAUCUAACUCUCCAUUAAGGAAGGCUGUCUUAACAUCCAUCUGAUGGAUGAGAAGCCCUUGUGAGGUAGCUAAGGAUAGUAGUACUCGAAUCGUGGUCAAUCUAGCAAGUGGUGAGUAAGUAUCAAAAUAAUCUUCGCCUUCUUUCUGGGUGUAACGCUUGGCCACAAGUCUUGUCUUGUACUUUUCAAUAGUACCAUCAGGUCUAAACUUUUUCUUAAACACCCACUUGCAUCCUACAGGUUUGCACCCGUAUGGACGAUCAACAAGCUCCCAAGUCCCAUUAGACAUUAUGGAAUCCAUCUCACUUUUGAUUGCUUCCUUCCAAUAGUCAGCAUCAGGAGAUCCAUAAGCCUCAGCAAUAGUUCUAGGAGUGUCAUCUGCAAGGUACACAACGUAGUAUCACCAAAAGAAUUUGCAGUCCUUCAUCUUUUACUCUUUCGAGUCCUUUCAUUGUCAUCCUUCUCAUGAUUCUCCUCAAGUGGUUGUUCAAAGUGUACUACUGUAUUAUUACAUUCAGGGGAAUUAACAGAUUCAUAACUAGAGUUGCUAGAUGUUUCAUUCAUAGGAAAAAUAUUCUCAAAAAAUGUGGCAUCUCUGGACUCCAUGAUUGUACCAACAUGCAUGUCCGGUACUCUAGAUUUAAUUAUCAAGAAUCUAUAUCCAAUACUAUGAAAAGCAAAGCCUAGAAAGACACAAUCAACUGUUUUCGGUUCGAGCUUGUGCUUCUUAGCAAUUGGUGCAUUAACCUUUGCCAAGCAACCCCAAGUACGCAAGUAUGAGAGUGUUAGUCUUUUAUUUUUCCAUUCCUUGAAUGGUGUUUUCUCUUUGUUUUUCAUAGGAACUCUAUUAAGAGUAUGACAGGCAGUCAACAUGGCUUCACCCCAUCAUUCCCAAGAAAGUCCAGCUGCUUCUAACAUGGUGUUAACCAUCUCAGUUAGAUACGGUUCUUCCUUUCAGCCACUCCAUUUGACUCAGGAGAAUAAGGUGGUGUUUUUUCAUGAAUAAUGUCAUGUUCCUCACAGAACAAAUUGAACUCAUUUGAAAAGUACUCUCCACCUCGAUCCGAUCUAACAUGUUUUAUCUUCCUCUCAAGUUGAUUUUCAACUCCAGCCUUAUAGAUCUUGAAAAACUUAAAUGCCUCAUCUUUCGAUUUAAGCAAAUACACAUAGCAAUAUCUAGUAGAAUCAUCUAUCAAAGUUAUGAAAUAUCUCUUUCCACCUUUAGUCAACACACUAUUUAUUUCGCUGAAGUCCGAAUGAAUUAAUUCUAAUGGUAACAAAGUCCUCACCUCAGCAUCCUUGUGAGGCUUGCAGGGUUGCUUAGAUUGCACACACACUUGACAUUAGAAAUUUUUACCAAAGUGAAUUUCGAAAUUAAACUCAAAUUAGCUAGCCACAACAUACAAUCAAAAUUAACAUGACAAAAUCGUGAAUGCCAAACAUUUGACUCAUCGUCAUUACAUACAUGAUUCACAAAUUUAUUACAAGAGUCUGAUAAUGAUAAAUGGAACAAACCAUCACAAUCAUAUCCUUUACCAACAAAGGAGCCAACCUUAGAAACAACACAUUUGUUCAAUUCAAACACCAACUUAAAAUCAUCCUUACAAAGAAGGGAUCCGCUAACAGGAUUUUAAUUUAUUGAGGUGACAUGCUGCACAUUCUUCAGCCGCAUGGUCUUUCCCGAAGUAAACUUCAGAUCGACCAUACCAAUACCACGAACAGCAGCACGUGAGUUGUUCCCUAUCAACACAGAUCCAAUCCCUGUGACCUGGUAAGAGGAAAACAAAGAAAUAUCAGCACACACAUGUAUAUUAGCACCGGUGUCAAUCCACCAAUUUGGUAAAUGACUAACUGAAAGAACAAAAGUACAAUUACCAUACCCUGAUGUUCCCUUCUCAGCAUCACUAAUAACAAUAUUAGCAAACUUCUUCUGCCCGUGUUGUUGCUUGUCCUUGCGGUCCUUGCAGUCCUUGGCCCAAUGGUCAGAACCAUCGCACACAAAGCACUUUCCCUUGUUGUUCUUCUUUUUCUUAAAGUUGGUAGUCUGAGUAGACUUGUGUUGAGACUCAAUUUUCGCUUUUCCCUUUUUCUUGUGGGAUUGGAAGUACCUUUUCUGCACCAUAUGAGCGCUAGAACCUCCCUCAUUGCUACGCGCACGUGAAUCCUUUGCUCUCGCCUUUUCUUCAACAUCAAGAGUGCCGAUAAGACCGGCUAUGGUGAACUCAUGUCUCUUAUGUUUCAGAGUAGUAGCAAAGUUCCUCCAUGAAGGAGGCAAUUUGACAAUGAUACCAUCGGCCAUAAAUUUAUCCAGCAUCUCACACCUAACAUUCACAAGAUCCUUUGAAAGAGCUUGUAACUCAUGAGCCUGUUCAACUACAGAACUGUCAUCAACCAUCUUGUAGUGGUAGAACUGCUCUAUGAUGUACAACUCGCUCCCUGCAUCUGAUACCCCGAAAUUUGCCUGGAGUGCAUCCCACACUGCCUUGCCAGAGGGAAGCUACAUGUAUGAAUCGAUCAAGUUCUUAGCAAGAACACUGAUCCUAGCCCCUUUGAACAAAUUGUCAGCAGACAUGUAUACACUAUCCUCCGUGGAGGUGUGCGGUCCCACAGAACGCUCAUGGGUAAUGAACAACACGUUCAUAGCCGUGAGCCACAACUCAAGUCUGCCAACCCAUCUCUUGUAAUUCGUUCCAUCAAAUACAUUUGGUUUCAAUUGCGCAGCAAAGCCGACUACCGAAAAAGCCCUAUCAAGUUUUUGGAUUGUUGGAAUUAGAGGCAUUUUGCGGUUAGUUUUAAUCCGAAAUAUAGAAUAAAACAUGACAGUAAAGAUAGCAUAAAUAGGAACUUGAUCUAUUGUAUUUGCAAUGAACAUAAAGCAUGCAAUAGAUACUAUGAAACGCAAGAACUGAACCAGGACGUUCAUAAGGGAGUACCCUGAGGCGGGGUUAGUUCUGGAGGAACCAGAUGCACCAUUACCCAACAUCGUUAGUUGAGCUUGUUUGAAGUAGUUGAUCAGAGGUUGAUGCCGUGCAGGUGAUCGCAGUGCAGUUGCACCUUUAGGAAGUAGAUGUGCACAGCGAGCAGACGCGCAGAUGCGCUUGCUAAAAACUUGAUCGCCCUUCUACUCCUCGGGUGCAGAGUCUCUGGCAAAGGGCGCAGCUUCGGAGGCCUGCUCUUCUGGUCAAAUUCGUGCACACAGAUCGCUGGAACGGAGACAGCAAAAAUGCAGCGCAGUAGUGGGGGAAAGCUCUGGUGGUUUGUAUGUUCGUGUACGAAAGAAUGAGAGGUAGCACCUCUUUUGUAGGCACCAGAAGACCCUUGGAUGCCCAGGUUAAUACAACAAUCAUAUGGUCAGUUUGUGGUAACUGCCAGCAAUUAGCAGUCGUCAGUUACUGGUCAUUUGUUAUCAACUAUUCAAUCGUCAGUUACUAGCCAUGAACCCCACACAUCACAUCACAUCCGGUCGCGUCGUGGCUCAGCGAGGUGUGGCCAUGACCUGCUGCUCCUGGGGUCGCUGCCGCUGCCGGCGUCGCUGCACCGCUUCUCGUCCACCCUCGCUGCCACCAGCUUCGACACCUGCGUCUUCCCGUCGGAUUGUGGAAACAUUGCCAUGCCGCUUCUCAAGCAGCUGACCCUUCUCCAUGUCAUGAUCUCGGAGACCUCCCUGCAUGCCUGGCUCGCCGGCUGCCCUGUCCUGGAGAGCUUGCUGCUGCUUGACAACGAAGGCUGCCCUCGAGUAAAGAUCAUCACGUCCCCUAGCCUCAGGAGCGUCGGUGUGGGUUCUAGAUGGAGAGAGGGAGGCCUCCGGUUCGAACAGCUCGACGUCGAGGACGCCCCAUGCCUGGGAAGAUUGUGCAUUCCUAUUAUUUUGCCACUUACGACUGUUAUAUUAUAUCUAUGGUUGUUCUAGAGCUAGCUAGGUUGACCAUGCAAUGCAUUGGCUAAUUCACACCAUUUUCAUGCUCGCUUUGCUUUUUCAGACAACACAUACAUGUUGGGGAGGAAAAUGAACUAUAUGAUGAAUAUUGGAAACUUACUGAUGAUGGUACCCUUAACACAUUCGGCUGAGAAAAAUUGUGCUACCAUACUAUCAGGACAGCAACUUGCAUAUUAACUUCGCCAAGUUCUUUGUGAGAAAUGCGGGCGUGCUGAAGUCGAUGAGGUUUGAUUUUGUAUCUCAUGUUGGGUCAUUUAGUCUUCUGCCUGAGGAGCAAGUGCAUGAUCUGUCAAUACUGGACCCCUUUCAAAGGACUCCUUAGUAGGCCUGAUAACACCAAUCAGAGACAUUUUGGUCAGUUUUUCAGACAAGGUUUAGUCAGUUUUCAGUACCUUGACAUUUGUUAUCUCUUUUAUUUCUCGGAAUAUAUACUGUAAUUUGUCAUCUGAUUUGGUGAUAUUUUUCGUUUUAAACGGAGAGGAGCUCUUGAGAUGCCCAUUGUUCUUUUCCACCUGGUUGUCAUUGGAAUGAUUCCAACUUGUAUGCUGUAUAGUCCAUUCAGUUUUCUUGAAUCACAAUUGCCAAUGUUCAGUCCAGCAAUGUUCAGAAUUCAGAGCUUGUUUGUUCUUGAGGAAUCUGCUUCCAGGUUAUAAUACACUGAAAAAUGAAGUUAUGUCUUGCUUUCGCGUCGACUGUGAUAUGAGCAGAAGCAGAACAGGUGGAAUGGCAUAUUCCCGUAUUCCUUAUUUCAGAACAACUGCAAUGUUGCAAUCCCUUGGUCUCAAAACUUUUUUUUCUAGAAUACGCAGGAGAGCUGCGUAUCUUUGUAUUAAGAAGAAAGAUCGUUUGAAACGUUACAAUGCGGGCCAAACGGGCAGACGCACACGGUCUGAACAACACUAUUGUAUGGGUAGAAAACAUACUGCAAUCUGAUAGUUUCCUAGUCUCCUCUCUUUAAUGCCAUUCAACAGGAUCAUUUAACCUUACGAGUUAAUGUCUAGUGCCAGUGCUAAGGAAUAUCAAAAUGCCAGCAGAUCCUUGAAAAAUUUAUAAUCCAUCAUCAUACUAUGUUUUCAAUUAGUCCAUGUUUUAUUUUUUCACUCCUGAACCUCUGAAAGUCCUUUCCACCUUCAUGAGGUUUUACAUUCUUGAAGCUGUUAGAUUGUUGAAGCUACAACUUGUUGGCCCCUGCUGUUGAGUGGAAAUUUGAUUCCAGAACCUGCUGGUUUUACUUAAAAAAAUGUUUUCCCCCUACAGAAUUUGGAGGAGCUUUUACAAUUCAGAGACCAAGAGAUGGUGCUUCAAGUGCUUCUCAGUCGAAGAGGAAAUUGGUUAGUAGGAUUGGAAAAUAGAAUGAGCGAGCAUUUGAAACUAAACACUACAAACCACUACAUUGUUCCCGCCUGAAUUUAGUUUGGUUCAACAUCUUGUGCCUUGAAAUUUGGUUGCAUAAAGCUGAAACCUGCUGACUUCUGUUGAUAUCACACAAUCUGGUAAGCAUCCAAACACAUCUGUCAUUUCUGAAUCAACAAUGCAUUGGGGAAAAGAUCAUGGGACAGCUUCAGCCUGAGAGGUCCUUACCCACAGGCAAACCACAAGCAGAAAUAAAAAUUACUGACAUCACCAUCAAAGAAUAGCAAGUUCAGAUUCUGAGCUUUUGGCUACAACAAAAACACUCUGUCACCUAUCAUCUUGAUUUCAUCAGCUAUAUAAGUAGAAUGAUUUAUUCUACGAAACAUACAGGUAGUAUAUAGGAUGAAUCGACCAUGUAUGCUCUGCAUCUUGGUCAUCAGUGCGGCAAGCCGGCGGCUCUACCGCAGAGUAUGGCAUUGGUCGGGAUGCUGUACUCGUUAGCGAAGCUCGGCUCCGGCGUCCAGACCCUGAGGUAGAGCUGCUGGCCGAGGUACUGCCGGUCCCAGAUCGCCGACCUCAGGUUCCACAUCCCCUGGUUGUCCAGCGACACCAGGAUCGCCGACCAUCCGCUCGGAUACACCUGAUGCCAACAAACAAUUGCCAAUGUUCAGUUCAGUUUCAUCGGGUACGGUGUUCAGGAUUCAGAGCCAUGUUCUUGAGCAAUCUACUUCCAAGUUAGGAUACCUGAACUGUACGCCUUGCUUGCGCGUCGACCAAGUUGUAGGUUUGCCGCUGCAUCUCAGUCCACUGGCCAUUGCCGUACCUGAAUGCAUUCAGACGAUGAUCAAGUGUGAGUAAGUCUGCACCUAAAGAAGUUUGCGAGAGCACUCAGACUACGAUGGCUUUGGAAUGAAUGGAAGGAGCCGCGCAAACCUUGGGUUGGAAUGCCAACACCGUGCACUGCUAAAGACAAGGACCUAUUCGCUGCUGCAACGACAGUCACGCUUGGCAAUGGGGAGAAGGCCAAAUUCUGGGAGUCGACGUGGCUCCAGGGAGAGAUGCCAAAGCAAAUUGCCCCAACGGUGUACUCCAUCUCAAGAAAGAAGAACAGGACAGUUAAAGAUGCCCUUUUAAAUGACAAGUGGAUUACUGACUUAAACGUGGUCAGAUUAUCGUCGGCAACACAGAUCGCCGAAUUCGUCACCCUCUGGGAUCGUCUGACAACGGUCCAACUAAGUCCAGGCACACCGGACUCCAUUACAUGGAAACUUACCCGGCAUGGCGAAUACACGACAUCAUCGGCAUACGAGGCUCAAUUCCACACCUCAACACCAUCUGAUAUGGAACGACUCAUUUGGAAGACAUGGGCGCCCCCAAAGUGCAAAUUCUUCUCCUGGCUUGCUUUUCAAAACCGUUUAUGGACAGCAGAUAGACUUAUCACAAGGGGUUGGCCUAAUCAAAAGGUAUGCAUGCUCUGUCACACGCACGAUGAAACGCUGCUACAUCUGCUAUCAAAAUGCCGCUACACUACUCGACUCUGGGAUAAAAUCUUCGGCUGGGCGGCUGUGAACAUUCCAUCCAGGGGGGAUUGGUCCGCCUUCUCAUCUAUCAGCGAAUGGUGGUCACAUCUUGGGUCCAUGCCGGGCAUGCCGCGAAAGGGAUUUAGAUCACUCAUUAUUCUCGUGUCAUGGGAGGUCUGGAAAGAGCGCAACGAAAGAAUUUUCCAACGGAGAUUUAAAAGUUUGGACCAGCUAAUGUGUAAAAUAAAGGAUGAAGUACGAUGCUGGACCUUGGCAGGUGCAAAGCAUUUGGGAGCUCUCUGUCCAUCGGAGGAGUGACCGAGAAGCAUAGAAAUGUCGUUGUACAGCCCCUGUAUACCUUUUCUUUCUUUCAUUUUUCGGCCUAGGCCUGUAACUACCUUCUCUAUUAAUUAAUACAAGUCCGGCAGUCUUUGCCGGUCCUCUUUCAAAAAAAAAAGUGUGAGUAAGUCUCUGUUUGCAAAUGUUCUUCAGAGGUGACGAAGAGCAGGGCCAAUUUCAUUCAUGUAUACUGCGAUGGCCGAUGGCUAGAUGCUCACCCUACAACCCAGAAGUCGUAUCCGUCAAGAUGCCACGACUGCAGAGUAGGAAAGUUAUAGAAAACUAUAAGCCCACAGAGUUUCUUAGCCCUUGUCUUUUCUUUGAAAAUUGAUGCUGCUAAUGCCACACGUCGAUAAUUUUCCUAACUUCUCAAAAGGGCCCAAGCCAAAGGAUACUUUCUAUUGAUUUUUUUACAAGCAAAGCAUCCUUAGCCAAACGAUGAUCCAACGUGAUUUGUACUCACUCCGUGUCGUUUGUUCGUUUAUUCGAUGCCCACGAGUCAAAGAAUAAGGUGUCAAAAUACUUGACGCUAGAGUUCUACACGUAUCUGGUUCCAGUGGCGGACCUACCAAUAGGGCGAGGUAGGGCGGCCGCCCUACCUAACCCUGGCAGCGAACCCCUAGUACCCCCCAUUUUUCCUCCAAGAAUCAAAGAUCCCACGCCCUCCAGCAAUGGCGUUCUGACGUUCUCGGGAGUCUGGAGUCUGGAGGAAGACGACGGCGGCGUUAGAAGCGAACAGCCCGAACAGGUAUGCUUAGAAUUCUUAGAUGGGCCAGGCAGUCAGCCCAAUUUGAUGCCUGAAUGGCCUAGUAUCCCGUCCGCAACUCCCCCGUCAUCUCCCUUCUCCCGUCCGCAACUCCCCCGUCUCCGCUCCUGUUCGAGCGCGGCCACCGCGCCACCAAGAAACGGCGAACCCUAGCGGCAUGGAGAGCGGCGAUCCUGAUCCAUCAGCAUUGGGGACUAGCGCCGGGAGCAGCCACGACAUCGGAGACGAGCAGCGCCAAGCAGGAGCGGCCGCUUCCGCGCCAUCUUCAGAGGCGUCAGCAGCGGCACCGCCGGCGGGCACAAGUAGCACGAGCACCAGUACGCCAGGUUCCCGUUCAUCAGUUACAAAGAAGCGGUACAGGAACACAGGUGAUUUAGAAAUUGGUUUGUGUUAGAUAACGAGUAGAAAAAUGGAUUAAUGAUUACUCACUAGUCAAUCAAUUGCACAUUUUUUAGAUUUGAAGAGUUUCUUCAGUAGCAAUUUAUCAAGUGGUUCAGCCCCAAGUACCCAUCAGAGUGAGAAUGCUGCUGUAGUUUCUGAAGAAGUGCUGGCUGAAGCUGUACCAGUAGAAGUUGAACCACCCGGAGAUGCUGAAAUGGGAGAUGUAGAAGCAGAUGGUUAACUUAUUCAGGUUGUUGACUCAAAUGCUCAUGUUGUUUCUGAUCCAGGACUUCGAAUACCUAUUGAGAGAUUUCAUCCUAAUAUUAGAGGUGAUGUUCAGAGAGCUUAUUUGUUAAAGGGACCAACCAAACCUUUUGGUCAUAAUUUUCCUCGCAGAUCAAAUGAUAAUAGGGCAUUUUAGAAUCAUGGCUGAAGACAUAUGAUUGGAUUGAAUACAGUGUGGCAAAGGAUGCAGCAUUUUGCUUCUACUGCUUUCUUUUUAAGCAAGAACCUAUUGAUAAAAAAUUUGGACAUGAUGCUUUCACCAAAGCAGGGUAUACAAAUUGGAAAAAUGCAUACCAUGGACUUCUUCAUGUUGGUGGGCCAAUAAGUUUUCACAACAGAGCAAGGGCAGCAAGCGUAGAUUUUAGGAAUGCAAAGGCAAGUGUCACACAUAAGGUUGAAACUCACAGCAAAGAUGCACAAGUGCGAUAUGAAACUCGUGUUACAACAGCUUUAGGUAUUGCUAGUUUUCUCAUUGCACAAGGCCUUUCAUUCCGUGGACAUGAUGAAACUAUUGCUUCCUUAAAUAGAGGAAAUAUUUUAGAGAAGGUUGAGUGGUACAAGAUAAGGGAUGAGGAGGUAAGGGUUGCAUUUGAGGAGCUGUGUCCAUUAAAUGCCCAAAUGAUUUCUCCCAAGAUUCAAAAGGACAUAUGUGAAAGUUAUGCAAUGGAGAUCAGCAAUGUGAUAAAGAAGGAGAUUGGUGAUAAAUGUUUCUCCGUUCUAAUUGAUGAAUCCCGUGAUGUGUCAAUAGCGGAACAAAUGGCUGUCAUUGUAAGGUUUGUGAACAACAAAGGAAUGGUUGUGGAAAGGUUUUUGGGUCUUCAACAUGUGCCAGAUACAACAUCAAAUGCAUUGAAGAAAGCUUUGGUUCAGAUGCUUGCCAAGUAUGAUUUACCUAUUGCAAGACUAAGAGGACAAGGGUACGAUGGAGCUUCAAAUAUGAGAGGUCAAUUCAACGGUCUGCAAAAUAAAAUUCGUGAUGAGAACCCAUAUGCCUUCUAUAUCCAUUGCUUUGCUCACCAGCUGCAGUUGGUUAUUGUUUCUGUUACAAUUUGCUGCUCAUCUUUCAAUGAUUUCUUCACCUAUGUGAGUAUGAUUGCAACCAGCGUUGGUUCAUCUUGCCAAAGGAAGGAUAAGCUGAUUUCAAAGCAUUGUGACACAAUUCUGCAGCAAUUGGAGAGUGGUGAGAUUUUUUCAGGAAAGGGAAAGAAUCAAAUGACUAGCUUGGUUAGACCUGGAGAUACAAGAUGGGGUCUCAUUUCAUUGAGUUAAUGUGGGAUUCUGUGGUCCGAGUGCUGUCCAUGAUUCAUGAAGAUGAGCGUAAUCCUGGUUCAGCAGGUGGUCUGGUGGAAAAAAUGGAGAGUUUUUCUUUUGUUCUAAAUCUGAAAUUGAUGCUGAAAGUGUUCCGUAUCACAAAUGAGUUGUCUCAACUACUCCAAAGGAAGGAUCAAAAUAUUGUCCAGGCUAUGUCAUUGCUAAUUGAUGUGAAAAUUGGUUUGACUAAAUUGAGAAAUGAAGGAUGGGAGCCGUUAUUUGAAGAAGUCAAAACAUUUUGUGUUGCAAAAGAGAUUCCAGUACCAAAUUUGAAUGAGAGAGUACCAAAAUGGGGGCGAACAAGGCUUGAUAAGAACUUAACCACUCUAGAUCAUCAUUUUCGUGUUGAUACUUUCCUUGCUGCACUUGAUGCUAUACUGACAGAGAUGGAUCAUCGCUUCAAUGAGGCAUCAUCAGAGUUACUUUGUUUGCUUUGCUUGUUUAGAUCCAAGAGACAACUUCUCAAAGUUUGAUGUUGAUAAGAUUUCUCGUCUAACGGAGAUCUAUGAUCAAGAUUUCUCAACUGUUGACCGUUCAAAUAUCAAGGAUCAACUUGAGACAUUCCUUCUCCAUGUGCAAAGAGUUGAAGAGUUCAAUACUUGUACAGAUCUUGGAAGUUUGGCAACGACGAUGGUUGAAGCUAAAAUGCAUACAGCUUUUUCAUUGGUAUAUCACCUUGUUGAGUUAGCAUUUCUCCUUUCUGUAGCAACGGCAUCCGUUGAAAGAGCGUUCUCAGCUAUGAAUAUGAUCAAGACUGAUUUGCGCAAUAGCAUGUCUGAUGAGUGGCUCAAUGACUUAAUUUGUGCUACAUUGAGAAGGAGAUCUUUGUAGGACUUGAUUUUGAAAAGGUUAAGAAAAGAUUCCAGUCUAUGAAAGAUCGGAGGAUGCAAUUUCCUAAGCCUCCUAGAGGAUCUAGUCAUGCUUAGUGAGUGGUUUUUAGUGGUCGUAUGUUUGUUUUUUUAUCAUGUUCACCAACUGUCCAACUUUGAUGCAAUAUGCAUAUUCUAUAUUCACUUUGUUAAGGUCUUAUGUGUGGGUGUAUGUGGUAUAUAGCUUUCGCUGGUUGAAGCUUGUGUUAGGUUGUCCGCCCUACCUACAUUUUUUUUCCUAGGUUCGCCACUGUCUGGUUCUCCACUUUGCCCCUCUUAGACUAUGUCCAACAUUCUCACUUAAUCAGACACUCUAUAUCUCUAUUUAGUUAUCCCCAUAAAAUUCAUCUCUAUAUUUUCAACAGUUACAUUGUUAUAUAUCUCUGAAGGGUUCUUAUUUUAACCGUUAAAAUUCAAACAACAAAAGUAGCAACAGCUUGAACCGGCAUGGUUCGUACAACAAAGUAAAUCACACAACUUGUUUGUUCAAAGAAGGCCACAUCACCUAAUUAAACGUGAUUUAAUUAUUUGGCUUAAAGAAGGCCUAGCACAUCCCAGACCAAUUGCAAAUGUAGCAAUCAGCUUGAACAGGUAUUUCAUCGAACAACUAAAGUGCAUGCAGUAGUAGCUCUGACCACGAGCAGCACCAAGUAGCCAAGCAGAUAGCUAACACCACCGACUGACCACGAAGCAGCACCAAGCAGCCAAGCAGAGCUACCACCUCCGACACUAGCAAGCAAAUCACACCAAACAUCAAAUCAACACACCGUGGCAUAAAAAGGAGCUUAGAACAAACGCCAGAAUCGGACCUGCUAGGCAGGCCAUGACCAGGGAUGACGUGCGGCGACGGAGCAGCAAGGCCCGAGGCCGAAGAUGGCCGGCGCUCACCUGCCCUUUUGACAACACGCGAACGGCGGGGUGCGGCUGUGAGCGCUUCUCACCGCUGCCGUGCUGGUGCGUGGGAGGAUGCCAGCAGGGCCGGAAUCACGCAGAUGGGCGACAGUGCGCGGGAGGGCAGAAAUGGGGCUGAGCACCCGCGGAUCGGUUCGGCACGCUGAACGGUAGAAGACGGAUGAGACGGCGAUGGAGCUCUCGAAGAUGAGUAAUAGGCUACCCUCCAUGGACCUCUUUGCGUUGUGCGUUUGAGGAGCGCAAGUGAGUCGAGGGAUGGCCCCUGCAUCUGGUCCUCUGUCCUCCGUCGAGAGAUGGCGAUGGUGUAGAUUGAUGUUGAGUAGUUGACGUCUACUUCGGUGAUACGGGGAUUUGAUUACGUUAGGACGUGAGGUAACGUACGUACUCGGUUUUAUAAACGUAGAGUGAUGCUCCUUGGCCUCCUNNNNNNNNNNNNNNNNNNNNNNNNNNNNNNNNNNNNNNNNNNNNNNNNNNNNNNNNNNNNNNNNNNNNNNNNNNNNNNNNNNNNNNNNNNNNNNNNNNNNGGGGGGGGGGGGGGUGCCGAGCUCGAAACCAUGAGCCUCAGGCCGUCCGCGCCAUAUCCUCGUACAAGGAUGUGUGGGAUAGGUAGAGGCACAAUCACAAGGCAGCUGUGCACAGCGAAACACAGCAAGUUGAGCCGACCUUGCGGAAGCAGGCGCGGAACGAAGCUUCAGUGGCAGGCCGACCUUGCGGCCGAUGAAGACAGCAGACCGGACUCACGAAUUAAUCUGGCCAACAGCAGUGGAAAUUGGGAUGGUGCUGGAGGUCGAGCUCAGCGGGAGCUCGCGAUGAAGGCCGGCGCUCGCAAGAACUCAUGACGGAGGGCAGGGCUCAUGCUCUCAGGCAAGGGAGCCCGCAACCGAAGGCAAUGGGUAGGCCGACGAUUUUGGAAGAAGCAGAGGGGCCUGUUCGAGGAACAGGGACAUACGUGUAGCAAACGAGCUAAAAUUUACCUUCUUUGAGCUUAAGUGAAGUCAUUAGAGCUUAAUGGAACCAAUGAACAGCCUUGCACCCAAGUAAAAUGACCCCUUUUGCCCCUCACGAGCUAAACAUGUGUUUAAGCCAUAACUCAAUUUUUUUUCUUAAGAACUUAAAAAUCUGCCUAACUAAGAGUUGUAUAACUCACAAAUUCUAACAACUUUUGUAAUUAUCUUUUUGCUUGAAACUGAUCAGAAAAGGGUCAAAAUAUCGAAUUACAAAUCUGGGCCGAAAGGUGCAGAUCAAAUAAAGUCAGAACUUUGGAGCCCUUUUUCUCACAUUUUCGAAUGUAUGCUCAUGACAAACCUUUUAUGAAAGUUUUAGUGCUACGAGUCCUUAACAACUUUGAUUUUUGAGCAUAGGCCAAAAUCUGCACAGAAGGUUUUCAAAAACGAGGUCAAACGCAGCUAAAAUGGUCAACACUGUCAAAAAUGGCUGAAGUGUUCAAGUCUGAAAGUUUCGGAUUUUGCCAAACUUUGAAGCGUUUUAUCUUCAAUUCAGCUUCGAAUUUGAAAUCAAGACAAUUACAAGAAUUGAACUUAGAUCCUAGGCCUACAACUUUUGUAAAGGGAGUAGGGGUUGUGCAGUUCAAAAAUCUGGAGAAGAUCGCGCUCGAAGAUUGCCCUAUCGUCCGAUCCCGCAAAUCCCGCACCAGAGCUCACGCCGAGCACACGUGCGCCGCGCUCCCCUCACCGGCCGCCCCGUGGCACGUGCUCCUCGUCGCUGCCCCGUCGAGUUGCCCCCUGCCGCUGCUCUAUCCGCACGCGCCCUGCGACGCUCUGGCACGCCACCGCCGCCGUGCCCGCCAACGCACGCCCGAGACAAGACGCCACAGCUCCUCGGCCUCGCCUGCAGCGCCCUGAUGGAGCCGUUCACCCGUGCACGCCUGCUUCGCUUGCGGCGCCCGCCUGCAAGCACGCCCGCCAAGUCGCCUCCCCUAUCCGCCAAUGGUGCCCGCCGUGGCCGGUCCACCCCGCAGCAGCGUACUAGCGCCCCAUCCUCCAAACCACCCUCCUCAAGUCUCCUGCCUCCUUUCCAAGCCCCCGUGCCCUCCAACAGAAAGUUCUUGCCCCAAACCGGCAGCUCGAGAGGUUCCCGUUCCCUGACGAAAUCUGGCCAGCUCCCUCCGCCUCUGUCUAAUAGCCCACGCCUGAGGCUCCUCCACUUCCUCAGCCACACCCUCGGACACUCCUCGUCGCCUGCCUUCCAUCCCAUCGCCCGGAAUCCCACUUUCCCCAACUCCAGGAACUCCACCCGCCACCCCCACUGCCUCACCGCUGAACACCAUCUUCCAGUCAUCCUCGUCGUCAACCAACCACUCAAACGGAACCGCGGUAAGACACUGAUCAUCAUGCUCGCGCUCGAUUUCCUCUAGGGUCAACUUUCCGCGCUCGUUCCCGCUCAUGUCGACGGCAUUCCUCGCCGCCCGCGGAGCCCCUUCUGCGCCGCCGCGAUCCGCGUCUCUGGACCUGCUUCUGGGAGCCGUUGGCCCUGCUUCGCAGCCCCUCCUCGCCCCCAAGCCGCCCCGCUGCCCUCCCCCUACCGCCGCUGGCCCAAUCCCGAACGCCGGCCAAGCCUGUCUGUUUUGCUGUGCUGUGCGUUCUGUUCCAGAGGAAGAAGAAGGCCAGGGGUCUAGUUGCGAGUGGAAAAGAAAGUCAGGGGGUUAUGGGGAAAAUCGUGGGAUUUAUGUUUGAGGUGGGUUUUUGUCCAGGGGUGUAGGCGCAAGAUCCAGGGGCCUCUACGCAUUUAACCCAUAGACUGGAGGGCUAGAUUGGAAGAUUGCCUCGGUUUUCUUUUUUUUUCCUGGAUCUAAAAAGGCUGAAAGUUUAAAAAGGCAUAGAAAAGUGUAGAAAAAUGCUAAAAAUGCAAGAUAAAUUUUGUUAGACUCAAUAUUCUGUUUAGUUUCAUAUAAAAAUAAGUUUACACAUGUCUCUGUUAGAAUUAAUGUUAUAUGAUUUAAUCCUUGUUUAAGCUAGUUUAAAUCAUAGCAAAUCACAGAAAAAUGCUAAAAAGGUAAAUCCAACUCUCAAGUGUUUGUUUCAGAGAAUAAAAGCUUAGAAAAAUGGUUUAGAGCCUAGCUUAGACAUUUAAGUUACUGUUUUAGUUUAUUAAUUGAAAUCUACGGGUAGAUUUUUCUUUUUGCAUAAUGAUAAAUCCAGAGAUGAUAAAAAUAUGAAACCACUUGGAAUAAUUCAGGAAUGAGGUGUAGUUCACAGGAAAAUUAUGAGACUUGGUUUGAAAGUUAAUGAAAACCUCUUUCCUUUUUAGAGAAAGAUAAAAAGGAAUAAUAUAUGAAAUGCCUUUCAGACUCUUGGUUUUGCAUGUUGAAUCAUUUGCACCUGCAUUUCAUGUAGAAGUUAACAUCGCCGACGGUACAUACGAGCUGCACCCGACGCUCGAAGAGGAAGCUGUAGCGGAUCUACACCACGCCGAAGUCGAGCCCGUGCCAGAGCAAGCCGAGGACCAGUUCGGUAACUCCGAGUGUGAAGGCAAGCCCCGGAUCAUAAAUUCCUAUGUUUAAAUACUUGCAAUAUAUUGGUUGUUUUGAUUAUGCAUUUACGUUUAUAGGAAUUGAUUGAAACCAUAGAUGCAUGAAUAUAGUGCCCCUUGAUCUGAACACUAGUAUAAGAAGUCGAGUAGUUGCAAUGCUAAAUAGGACUCGGUAAAAGUCGAGUGAUUUCCUGUCACUCGCGAGUUAUAGGAGUUGAAUGAUUUUCUUUUCGUUGCAACUAUAAGGAUGAUGGACGGGGCUGGGCUUAUGUUGGUACUCGGUGGUUUGCCCCGUCUGUCUACUUGAAAUUGGACUAAGGUCGAAAGGUGAUGGUGUUCGUGAUCAAGUGUUUGAAAGUACUAAUCUCAUACCUAGUAUAGGUGGGGAAGCCUAGUACCUGAUUGAACUGGGACGUGGCUUAUACCCCUGCUGUCCUUGGAACGUCGUUCCCAUGGUGCAUCAUGUGGGUGCAAUGGCGGUCAUAGUACGGUAGAGACCGGGACUGUGGAGCAUUGCAUGCCAAAGGAAGUUUGGACCUGACACGUACCUAGGGAUCGAUGGGGACGGCUGACAAGUGAAGCGACCCUUCGUGGUGCGCGGAUGUCGUGGGAUUAGGUUCGCCAUGCAUGGUUAAUAAAUUCGAAUCGAUUCGUCUGCCUCUCACAGUGUGGGACUACUUGAUCGCUAUGCUACACUGAGUAAGAAUGAAAGAUGAUGAUGAUAUAAUAUUGUUACUUGUUAUUAAUUGCUUGGAAAACUAUGCUUGUUUAGUAUAGUUGCUAACUUAGAAUGAUAAACAACAGUAGAACUGGUGGCUAAAAUGUUGAAAGUAAGGACCUACACUAGUCGCUUUUGGCAAAACAAAACCCAGAGCCAAAAAGCUUACAUGUAGUGUUAGUGGAUUAGUACCACAGGUCGGUUAAGUCUUGUUGAGCAUAGUUGCUCAGCCUUGUUUGUGGCACCUCUUUUCAGGUGAGGAUGAUGUUUCUGAGUUCGCUGCUAGUUCUGCUUGGUCUACCCAGCUCCCUCCGGGUUGGACGGUCAAGUGGGAUCCCUCCUCGGACGGCGAGGACAGGGGUCAGUGAUGUCAUGAUCGGCUUCUUCAUGAUAUCGUGCAUCGACGUUUAGUUUCCGUUCGUUUUAUUUCCGCUGCUUGAACACUCUACAAACUAUGUUUGAAUUUCUGAACUUUAUGUUGUAAUAAAUCGAUGCACUUUGUUUAAUCUGGAUGGACUGUUGUAAUCUCUGUAACCACUCACCAUCGUGUGAGUUUUGCUUUCUCGAUCCUGCGUUACGUGGUUUUAUCGGAGGAAAUCCGACGGACGACCAAGUUGACUUGUUUAAAGUACAUGAUCGCGUUUAGGCGACUUAAGUGUGCUUUAGCCAAGUUAAUUUAGGCGGUUCCGCCACAGCUGGUACCAGAGCUUGAAAGCAUGACAGAGAAAACAACAGACUUUAAAUACCUUUUCUAAAAUAAAACUUGCAAGAAAUUAGUUUGAAAAUUCCGUACGAUCGUUAAGGAUGAUCUUAGUACGAGAAGCCCUAGGGGAAUUUUGGGGUUAUUUAAGGUGGCUAUUAGCUAUUGGUUAUUUUACUAACUUCUAGCACUUUCGCCCACGUGUAUUAUACAUGCGCAGAGUUCCGCAUCGCGAGUAUGCGAGAGGUGGUAGGAAGUUCUAUUCAAAAGAACCUAUCAUCGCGGUUGUUUUCGCCCACGUUUAUUAUACGUGCGCAAGGUUCCGUAUGAUGAUUCAUGCGAAGGGUGGUAUGGUUCGAUUCCAACGAGCCUAUCAUCACGGUUGUUCGCCCACGUUUAUGAUACGUGCGCAUGAUUCCGCAUCACGAGUAUGCGAAGGGUUAUAUGGUCCUAUUCAAAGGGGCCUAUUUCCACGGUUGUUGCGCUGUCCAUGCAGCGUUAAACGCAUGGGUGCCAUUUCUAUAGUGAAUGGUAAUGAAUGGGGACGCUUUCGUGAGUGCUGGCAUGAAAGGUUCAUGUGGUAUUGUGUUUUUCUGCAGGUACACUAACCACGUUCGUUUAGGAAAACGAUAUUAGAAACCCGACUAGAUACUAUAGGGAGCGAUGUAAUUGUUGCCUCGCCACCGGCACUAAUCACGUAAGUCCAAUUUUUGGCAAUUAUUUUGGUUGAGAGGAUGAUGUAGGUCGUGCAUGCAUCAUGAACUAAAAUACGUGAAACCGAACCAUUAAAUCGACCUUACUCAUGUGUUUUAAGUUUUUUUUUUCCGCGUUAUGGAUUUUCUAGCUACCCUUUUCAGCAUGGUGUCUUAUCAAAAUCUUUUGGGUUGUUUCCAUGUGUUAUCUACAGAAACUUUAUAUAAGAAAAGUGUGUAAAAACGUUUUAUUAUGCCACUGGUAAAAUUUGGUAAUUUUUCCCAAAGGAUUUGCGAGCAAUGACAAAAAAUUUGUAACUCCUUAUUUCCUGGAAAUACAGUUUGUGCACCUGUUAUAGUCUUCCUGUUUCGACUCCCUUAAGGACAUUUUCUGCUAGGCACUGCUUAAGAAAAGCUGUAGAGCACUGUUUGAAGAACCUUGUGGUAAAUAUUCAGCUUAUUUAUAUCUCUGGUUUGGGAGUUAUGCUCAGUUUAUUGCCACACUGUCCCUGGAAAUUCCAGCAUGUGCCACCUGCCAAAGAUCUGAGUAUAUCACCCUGUUAGGAUCUGUUUUCACUCCACUUAUGAAUACCAAACUUGUUACCAAUUAUCAGAAGGGAAUGUUGGUAAAAUUUGGGAAUUUUUGGAUGAGUACUUGUUGAGUUAUGAGCUUUUUCUCUAGCCUACCAGAAUCUGUUUUUAUCCUGAGUUUUAAUCUCACGUUUCUUUUAUCACUCCUUGGUUCCAGAUGGCCGCUCCUGGGCACGUGAUGCGUGGCACGGAUGGCACCUCCCACUCCACGUGCCUACACUUCGAGGGUUUUCCCGCUAUCUUGUGGGACACCUUGAGGUGGUUUGGGUACCAGUCGCCGCCUCUUUACGCGGGACGCGAGUACCUGGAGCACGGGGUGCAAAGGUGCAGCGUGCGUGUGGUCGUACCUCCACCCCCAGUGCAGCCACAGUGGCCCCAGCUUGAGGUUUCGACAUAUGGUCAUACCCUCGAGGAUACUUGGGAGUCCGCUGCCCUGCAGGCCCUCACUCAGUUCUGCAGACUACACCCUUUCGAGGUCCUUUUGGAUCCGAUUGGCUUGUUCCCCGCUAGGGACAGACUGGACGCAGACUGGCUUGAUAGGGUGAACAACAUGGAGGUGUUGGUCACCUCACACCCGCAGGUCACCCUCUCCACCGCAACGCGUUGUAUGAAUGCGUUGUACCGACUGGUCGAGCUCCAGGGGAGAGCUAUGGCUGUCUUGGCUCGUAUAGCUGUGGACACCCAGGAGCAUCUCAAUACCACCAAGAGAGAUUUGGUGGAACAGUCGUACCAGCUCAUCCAGAGGGGUAUACGGAUCUCUGACAUGGAGACCCGGAUCACCGAGCUAGAGGAGGAGGUGACAGAUAUGGAGCACGAUAUGGUAUUGCUUGCAGAGGAGAAGCUAGAGGUUGAGAUGGAGCUAGCUGUUGCUAAUGCGCACUUGGAUGAGCACCACGCUGAGCUCAAUGCCAUCCAUGCGCAGGAGCAGCAGGGGGAGAAUGACCCGAUGGAGGAGGAGGAGGAGGAGGAGGACCCCGAGGAGAUCGAGGGUGUCUCGAGCAUGGACUUCGAGGGCGUUCAGUCUCCGCCCCGAGUUGGUGACGCCCCUUCUCCGGCGCACAGCGCUUCCUCCGUGGGCAACUUAGAUGACUUCUAGGUUUUUGUUGUAGCGAGUUGGUCUUCUGUUGUUACUCCUCGGCAACCUAUAUUUUGGAUGGCGAUGUAAUAGGUUAGCCUCGAGUUGAGUACCCUUGCUGCCAUAGACUUGUUAUGUAUGCAUGGACAUGCUUUUGUCAUGACCGGCGAUGUAACCGAAAACUUGGCAGAAAUAUAGUUGUUGUUUGGUCUCAGUUUUAACCCUAUCUCCACUCACUUUUGAACUGAUAUUUAAAUACCAAAGUUGUGCAAAAACUUGUGUUCUAACCGCUCGUAAAAUUUCAGCUCCUUUCGAUCUGUUAAACUCGUGUUAGAAGCCAAAACUUCACCGCUCAGAUUGCUGAAAAACAGCCGGACAACGACUCACUCAGCUCACUUUUCAAUCUCUUUAUCUUAUGUUUUGGUCAGCGAGCGUAAUACAAAAGUUGUGGCAUAUGAAAUGCGCUAACUACUGACCAAAGAUGAGAAACAAUGUGCAUAAAGAAGAAGAGAUAUGCACCUACUCAAUAAAAGGAUCUUAUUGUUGUUUUUCUCAGGAUCCGCAAGAUUUAUGUUUAUGAUCCCGCACAUAAUUUUUCCUUGUUUUUAAGCAAGCUUUCGAAUUAUGUGACUAAUGGAAAGAUACCCUCUUGCAGAUGGUGCGCACUGCACGCUUAAGCUCGAUCCCAAGUGGUAGCGAGGAUAAUCGAGCACCUCCGCCGCCACCGCCUCCCCCGCCUUCGCUAGAGGCGAUCUUGGCUGCACAGACAGAGCUCUUGCGACACAUCGUCCAAGGGCAGCAACACCAGCCUCAGGGAGGAAGGGGUCAUCAGCAGCCCCAGAUUGCUCAUUAUGAGGAUUUCUUAGGGACCCAGCCCCCGCUCUUCCACAAGACUGAGGAUCCUCUCGAUGCUGAUGCAUGGAUUCACAUUCUGGAAUCCAAGUUCGAGCUUCUUACUACGCCUUGCACCGAUGACAACAAGGCACGGUUUGCAGCCCAGCAGCUGCGUGGUUCUGCCCGCCUCUGGUGGGACCACUACCACGCCAUGCUGCCGGCUGACCACAUCGUCAGCUGGGACGAGUUCAAGACCGCUUUCAGAGGCCAUCAUAUCCCUGAGGGCCUAAUGGAGUGCAAGCUCAAUGAGUUCCUGGCUCUCACCCAGGGAAGUCGCGACGUCCUGCAUUACGCACAGACCUUCAACGACCUCUGCCGCUAUGCCAGCUAUCACGCAGAUACGGAUGAGAAGAAGCGGGAUCGGUUCCGCAGGGGCUUGAGUCUCGAACUCAAGGAAAGGCUGAACCCCAUCAAAGUGGAUACCUACAACGAGCUGGUGAAUCUGGCCAUUUCCCAGGAAGACUGCAUGAAGGCCCUCAAGGUCGACCUGAAGCGGAAAGCUCCCAUGAUAUCACCUAGCCCGCCUGCUCGGAAAUUCAGGAUGGUUCCCCCUUCAGCACCUCGCAGGCCCGCGCAGCCUGGGAGAUGGGUUGCUCGCCCUCCACCACCGGCAGCACCUCGUUUCCCCGGUUUCCAGCCGCAGGCGCCUCAGCGCAACCUUCCACCGCCGCCGCGCCCUGCAAAUGGUAACCGCUGCUUCACCUGCGGCAACAUGGGACACUUUGCCAAGGACUGCCCCAGAAACAAGAAUCAACGCCCCGGCCAGAGCAAUGCAAUGGUGAACAAGGGAAAGAAGCCCAAAGUACAAGUUCGUCAUGGCAGGCUAAACUUCACCAAUGUGGCAGAACUCCCAGAAGGCGCACCGGUGAUGACGGGUACAUUCCUUAUUCAUAAUCAACCAGUUUUGAUUUUAUUUGAUUCCGGAGCAUCUCAUAGUUUCAUCGGAAGUAAAACUGGUGCUAGAUGUGGGUUAAGGUUCUGUCACACCAAAGGGUCGUAUAUGAUCUCUACCCCGGGUGGGAAAAUAGCCUCAGAUCAAAUGAACCUCAAUGUACCUAUCAAGUUAGGAAGAACCCUCUUUAAGGAAAAUCUUAUUAUUCUCGGUCUAGAGGGAAUAGAUAUUAUCUUGGGUAUGGAUUGGAUGACUCGACACCGAGUAAUGCUAGAUAUCUCCGCCCGAGCUGUCCACAUAGACUCACCACUGUAUGGCACCUCCACUAUCCACUUACCCCACCGAGAGUGCGUAAACUCCUGUGCUUAUCCUGUGGUUGAAGCCCAACUGGAAGAUAUCCCCAUUGUUUGUGAGUAUCCAGAUGUAUUCCCGGAUGACCUGCCAGGCAUGCCACCUGACAGGGAUAUCGAGUUUGCUAUUGAGUUGCAACCAGGCACGGCACCAAUAUCCAAGAGGCCGUAUCGAAUGCCACCCGCAGAGCUGGCAGAACUGAAAACCCAAUUACAUGAACUAUUGGAAAAGGGUUUCAUUCGCGCAAGUACGUCACCUUGGGGCUGUCCAGCACUGUUUGUGAAGAAGAAGGACGAGAGUCUACGCAUGUGUGUGGACUACCGCCCUCUCAAUGCGGUGACGAUUAAGAAUAAAUAUCCAUUGCCCCGCAUUGAUGUCCUAUUUGAUCAGUUAGCUGGAGCCAGAGUAUUCUCCAAGAUAGACCUUCGUUCAGGCUAUCAUCAGAUCAAGAUCCGACCGUGUGACAUUCCCAAAACGGCUUUCUCCACACGGUAUGGACUCUACGAGUAUCUAGUUAUGUCGUUUGGGCUUACUAAUGCGCCUGCUUAUUUCAUGUAUCUCAUGAAUUCGGUGUUUAUGCCCGAGCUGGACAAAUUCGUCGUGGUAUUCAUUGAUGACAUCCUAGUGUACUCGAAGAAUGAGAAGGAACAUGCCGAGCAUCUUCGCAUUGUUCUUCAACGCUUGAGAGAUCAUCAGCUGUACGCGAAGUUCUCCAAGUGUGAGUUCUGGUUGGAGAAUGUUAAAUUCUUGGGACACACUAUUUCUCGAGAUGGCAUUGCAGUCGACCCCAGCAAAGUGCAAGAGGUCAUGGACUGGAAGCCACCCACUUCGGUUCAUCAAAUCCGAAGCUUUCUUGGUCUAGCAGGCUACUAUCGGCGAUUCAUUCCGGAUUUCUCAAAAAUAGCUAAGCCUAUGACUGAGUUAUUGAAGAAAGGAGUCAAAUUCACAUGGAGUGACAAAUGUGAAGAAGCUUUCCACACCUUGAGAAGACUUUUAACCUCUGCCCCAGUCCUAGCUCAACCUGACACUACUAAGCCGUUUGACGUGUAUUGUGACGCCUCCGGCACUGGACUUGGGUGUGUUCUCAUGCAAGACAACCGAGCCAUUGCCUAUGCCUCACGAGCGUUACGGCCACAUGAGCUGAAUUACCCAACACAUGAUCUUGAAUUGGCAGCCGUGAUUCAUGCCUUGAAGAUGUGGAGACACUAUCUUAUGGGCACUCAUUGCAAUGUCUACACUGAUCACAAGAGCCUCAAGUAUAUCUUUACUCAAGCGGAUCUUAACAUGCGUCAGAGAAGGUGGUUGGAAUUAAUUAAGGAUUAUGAUCUGGAAGUGCAUUAUCACCCCGGCAAAGCAAAUGUAGUUGCCGAUGCUCUCAGUCGCAAGGCCCAUUGCAAUUGUUUGUCAGCAACUAACUUCGCAGAAACCAUAUGUCAUGAGAUGGGAAAACUUAGUUUGGAAAUUAUUUCCCAUGACACCUUAGGUCAUGUUUCCAUUGAAUCUACCUUAGAGGACCAAAUUGGGCUGAUACAAUUAGAAGAUGAGGAAAUAAAGCUAAUUAAGGAGAAAGUUGCACAGAGAAAUGAGGGGUAUAAACAUUUCCGACAAGAUGAGAAGGGAAUAGUGUACUAUGAGAACCAACUUGUUGUCCCAUCUAACCCCGACCUUAGGAAGCAAAUCCUGGAUGAAGCACAUCUCUCCAAGUUCUCGAUUCAUCCUGGCAGCAAUAAGAUGUAUCAUGACCUCCGUCAAACAUUUUGGUGGAGUGGAAUGAAACCGGAAAUUGCACGCUAUGUCUCGGAAUGCGACACGUGUCAACGUAUCAAGGCAAGCCACUUGAAGGUAGCAGGUACCUUGCAACCGCUACCUAUUCCAUCUUGGAAAUGGGAAGAUAUCAGCAUGGAUUUCAUUGUGGGAUUACCCGUUACUUCUCAGCGCCAUGAUUCUAUUUGGGUUAUAGUGGACCGUCUUACCAAGACGGCACAUUUCCUUCCUGUUCACACUACCUACACCGCUCGGAAAUAUGCAGAAUUGUAUCUUGACCGUAUUGUGUCCCUACAUGGUGUGCCGAAGACAAUCAUCUCUGAUCAAGGAUUUCAAUUCAUCGCACGCUUUUGGGAACAACUACAGUCCGCACUUGGCACUAAGCUAAUCCGUAGCUCAACAUAUCACCCUCAGACUGAUGGCCAAACAGAAAGGGUGAAUCAAAUUCUAGAAGACAUGCUACGUGCUUGCGUCAUACAUUAUGACAAGAAUUGGGAUAAAUGUUUGCCAUUAGCAGAAUUUUCCUAUAACAAUAGCUACCAAGCUAGCUUGAAAAUGGCACCAUUUGAAGCCCUAUAUGGUUGAAGGUGUCGAACACCUUUAAAUUGGUCACAAGCAGGAGAAAGACAAACCUACGGGCCUGAUCUAGUAGUUGAAGCCGAAGAGCAAGUUAAAAUAAUUCAGGCAAAUCUUAAAGCCGCCCAAUCACGACAGAAAAGCUAUUUUGACAAAAGGAGAAGGUCCUUACAGUUUGACAUUGGUGAUCAUGUAUACCUCCGAGUCUCACCGACUAAGGGUGUACAACGGUUUAGGAUCAAAGGAAAAUUGGCUCCCCGAUACAUUGGUCCCUAUGAGAUCGUGGAAAUAUGCGGACCAGUCGCAUAUAGAGCUCGCGAUGAAGGCCGGCGCUCGCAAGAACUCAUGACGGAGGGCAGGGCUCAUGCUCUCAGGCAAGGGAGCCCGCAACCGAAGGCAAUGGGUAGGCCGACGAUUUUGGAAGAAGCAGAGGGGCCUGUUCGAGGAACAAGGACAUACGUGUAGCAAACGAGCUAAAAUUUACCUUCUUUGAGCUUAAGUGAAGUCAUUAGAGCUUAAUGGAACCAAUGAACAGCCUUGCACCCAAGUAAAAUGACCCCUUUUGCCCCUCACGAGCUAAACAUGUGUUUAAGCCAUAACUCAAUUUUUUUUCUUAAGAACUUAAAAAUCUACCUAACUAAGAGUUGUAUAACUCACAAAUUCUAACAACUUUUGUAAUUAGCUUUUUGCUUGAAACUGAUCAGAAAAGGGUCAAAAUAUCGAAUUACAAAUCUGGGCCGAAAGGUGCAGAUCAAAUAAAGUCAGAACUUUGGAGCCCUUUUUCUCACAUUUUCGAAUGUAUGCUCAUGACAAACCUUUUAUGAAAGUUUUAGUACUACGAGUCCUUAACAACUUUGAUUUUUGAGCAUAGGCCAAAAUCUGCACAGAAGGUUUUCAAAAACGAGGUCAAACGCAGCUAAAAUGGUCAACACUGUCAAAAAUGGCUGAAGUGUUCAAGUCUGAAAGUUUCGGAUUUUGCCAAACUUUGAAGCGUUUUAUCUUCAAUUCAGCUUCGAAUUUGAAAUCAAGACAAUUACAAGAAUUGAACUUAGAUCCUAGGCCUACAACUUUUGUAAAGGGAGUAGGGGUUGUGCAGUUCAAAAAUCUGGAGAAGAUCGCGCUCGAAGAUUGCCCUAUCGUCCGAUCCCGCAAAUCCCGCACCAGAGCUCACGCCGAGCACGCGUGCGCCGCGCUCCCCUCACCGGCCGCCCCGUGGCACGUGCUCCUCGUCGCUGCCCCGUCGAGUUGCCCCCUGCCGCUGCUCUAUCCGCACGCGCCCUGCGACGCUCUGGCACGCCACCGCCGCCGUGCCCGCCAACGCACGCCCGAGACAAGACGCCACAGCUCCUCGGCCUCGCCUGCAGCGCCCUAAUGGAGCCGUUCACCCGUGCACGCCUGCUUCGCUUGCGGCGCCCGCCUGCAAGCACGCCCGCCAAGUCGCCUCCCCUAUCCGCCAAUGGUGCCCGCCGUGGCCGGUCCACCCCGCAGCAGCGUACUAGCGCCCCAUCCUCCAAACCACCCUCCUCAAGUCUCCUGCCUCCUUUCCAAGCCCCCGUGCCCUCCAACAGAAAGUUCUUGCCCCAAACCGGCAGCUCGAGAGGUUCCCGUUCCCUGACGAAAUCUGGCCAGCUCCCUCCGCCUCUGUCUAAUAGCCCACGCCUAAGGCUCCUCCACUUCCUCAGCCACACCCUCGGACACUCCUCGUCGCCUGCCUUCCACCCCAUCGCCCGGAAUCCCACUUUCCCCAACUCCAGGAACUCCACCCGCCACCCCCACUGCCUCACCGCGGAACACCAUCUUCCAGUCAUCCUCGUCGUCAACCAACCACUCAAACGGAACCACGGUAAGACACUGAUCAUCAUGCUCGCGCUCGAUUUCCUCUGGGGUCAACUUUCCGCGCUCGUUCCCGCUCAUGUCGACGGCGUUCCUCGCCGCCCGCGGAGCCCCUUCUGCGCCGCCGCGAUCCGCGUCUCUGGACCUGCUUCUGGGAGCCGUUGGCCCUGCUUCGCAGCCCCUCCUCGCCCCCAAGCCGCCCCGCUGCCCUCCCCCUACCGCCGCUGGCCCAAUCCCGAACGCCGGCCAAGCGUGUCUGUUUUGCUGUGCUGUGCGUUCUGUUCCAGAGGAAGAAGAAGGCCAGGGGUCUAGUUGCGAGUGGAAAAGAAAGUCAGGGGGUUAUGGGGAAAAUCGUGGGAUUUAUGUUUGAGGUGGGUUUUUGUCCAGGGGUGUAGGCGCAAGAUCCAGGGGCCUCUACGCAUUUAACCCAUAGACUGGAGGGCUAGAUUGGAAGAUUGCCUCGGUUUUCUUUUUUUUUCCUGGAUCUAAAAAGGCUGAAAGUUUAAAAAGGCAUAGAAAAGUGUAGAAAAAUGCUAAAAAUGCAAGAUAAAUUUUGUUAGACUCAAUAUUCUGUUUAGUUUCAUAUAAAAAUAAGUUUACACAUGUCUCUGUUAGAAUUAAUGUUAUAUGAUUUAAUCCUUGUUUAAGCUAGUUUAAAUCAUAGCAAAUCACAGAAAAAUGCUAAAAAGGUAAAUCCAACUCUCAAGUGUUUGUUUCAGAGAAUAAAAGCUUAGAAAAAUGGUUUAGAGCCUAGCUUAGACAUUUAAGUUACUGUUUUAGUUUAUUAAUUGAAAUCUACGGGUAGAUUUUUCUUUUUGCAUAAUGAUAAAUCCAGAGAUGAUAAAAAUAUGAAACCACUUGGAAUAAUUCAGGAAUGAGGUGUAGUUCACAGGAAAAUUAUGAGACUUGGUUUGAAAGUUAAUGAAAACCUCUUUCCUUUUUAGAGAAAGAUAAAAAGGAAUAAUAUAUGAAAUGCCUUUCAGACUCUUGGUUUUGCAUGUUGAAUCAUUUGCACCUGCAUUUCAUGUAGAAGUUAACAUCGCCGACGGUACAUACGAGCUGCACCCGACGCUCGAAGAGGAAGCUGUAGCGGAUCUACACCACGCCGAAGUCGAGCCCGUGCCAGAGCAAGCCAAGGACCAGUUCGGUAACUCCGAGUGUGAAGGCAAGCCCCGGAUCAUAAAUUCCUAUGUUUAAAUACUUGCAAUAUAUUGGUUGUUUUGAUUAUGCAUUUACGUUUAUAGGAAUUGAUUGAAACCAUAGAUGCAUGAAUAUAGUGCCCCUUGAUCUGAACACUAGUAUAAGAAGUCGAGUAGUUGCAAUGCUAAAUAGGACUCGGUAAAAGUCGAGUGAUUUCCUGUCACUCGCGAGUUAUAGGAGUUGAAUGAUUUUCUUUUCGUUGCAACUAUAAGGAUGAUGGACGGGGCUGGGCUUAUGUUGGUACUCGGUGGUUUGCCCCGUCUGUCUACUUGAAAUUGGACUAAGGUCGAAAGGUGAUGGUGUUCGUGAUCAAGUGUUUGAAAGUACUAAUCUCAUACCUAGUAUAGGUGGGGAAGCCUAGUACCUGAUUGAACUGGGACGUGGCUUAUACCCCUGCUGUCCUUGGAACGUCGUUCCCAUGGUGCAUCAUGUGGGUGCAAUGGCGGUCAUAGUACGGUAGAGACCGGGACUGUGGAGCAUUGCAUGCCAAAGGAAGUUUGGACCUGACACGUACCUAGGGAUCGAUGGGGACGGCUGACAAGUGAAGCGACCCUUCGUGGUGCGCGGAUGUCGUGGGAUUAGGUUCGCCAUGCAUGGUUAAUAAAUUCGAAUCGAUUCGUCUGCCUCUCACAGUGUGGGACUACUUGAUCGCUAUGCUACACUGAGUAAGAAUGAAAGAUGAUGAUGAUAUAAUAUUGUUACUUGUUAUUAAUUGCUUGGAAAACUAUGCUUGUUUAGUAUAGUUGCUAACUUAGAAUGAUAAACAACAGUAGAACUGGUGGCUAAAAUGUUGAAAGUAAGGACCUACACUAGUCGCUUUUGGCAAAACAAAACCCAGAGCCAAAAAGCUUACAUGUAGUGUUAGUGGAUUAGUACCACAGGUCGGUUAAGUCUUGUUGAGCAUAGUUGCUCAGCCUUGUUUGUGGCACCUCUUUUCAGGUGAGGAUGAUGUUUCUGAGUUCGCUGCUAGUUCUGCUUGGUCUACCCAGCUCCCUCCGGGUUGGACGGUCAAGUGGGAUCCCUCCUCGGACGGCGAGGACAGGGGUCAGUGAUGUCAUGAUCGGCUUCUUCAUGAUAUCGUGCAUCGACGUUUAGUUUCCGUUCAUUUUAUUUCCGCUGCUUGAACACUCUACAAACUAUGUUUGAAUUUCUGAACUUUAUGUUGUAAUAAAUCGAUGCACUUUGUUUAAUCUGGAUGGACUGUUGUAAUCUCUGUAACCACUCACCAUCGUGUGAGUUUUGCUUUCUCGAUCCUGCGUUACGUGGUUUUAUCGGAGGAAAUCCGACGGACGACCAAGUUGACUUGUUUAAAGUACAUGAUCGCAUUUAGGCGACUUAAGUGUGCUUUAGCCAAGUUAAUUUAGGCGGUUCCGCCACAAUACGGCGCGAGAAGAGCGGCGUUAACUCUCUGGCGGCACAAGGAGAUGCAGGGCGCUCCUGGUCCGCAGGCCCGUGAGGAUGCAGUCUAGCCACACGAGAGGAACGGGCGCAACGAAGGCAUACUACCGAGACGAAAAAUCUCUCCAUCCAUCGCUCGGUCAUCAGUGCAACUGUGUGCAAGCAAGCCAGACAAGCAAGAUGACUACCGCUAUCUACUAGCUUUGAUCGGAGGGCCCGCCUUGACUUGUUGCUUUUGAUCGAGGAGAACGACUUGUGUGAUGCAGUUGCGUGCGAGUCGCUACCGUCAAAGUGUGGCCCUUUCAGAAUUUGCUAGAUUCUAGGGACCAGCGGUGGAGCAUAACGACCAUCAAAAGGAGGCUCCUGACCUGCCGCAACAGCAUCUUCAUGACAUCUUCGCAAAUAACGAAGCAUUUCUUUCUCCAAUAUGCUCAUUUUCUUCGGCUUAUUGUGAGAGCCAACUAUUGUUUUCCCCUUGCCACGAGAGGAACGACAAUCUCCCCCACCAUCGCCACUACCUCCAGCAGCAAUAGCUAUCUUUAUGUACCACAAUUUAUUUAGCUCAUAUUUGCAAAUAACUAAACUAUUAAAAAAUUAUAUAUUUCCCACAUAAUUUAUUUAGAACUAAUUACGUACCUCUAUUUGAAAAGUACUAAACUAUGAAAUUACACCUACAAUUUAUUUACCUUAAUUUUAUGGCUAAUUUCUAAAUAUUAAAAACACAUUUACUCUAAUUUUUUCCUAAUACAUAAAUUUGAAAUCCUCUCCAUUCUACCUCACAUUUACUCUCCAUUCUCCCUCACAUUCAAACUAUCCAUCACAUUGUAGCUCAAAAACAUGUAUAAAUACAAAUCCUCUCCAUUCUCCCUCUUUCUAACAAUCAAACUCAUUUUUCUCCCCCUCCUCUAAAGUAUAAAACAAAGCAUAACAACAAUAAAUAAACAAAUAAUGAAGUAGCUAACCUUCACAACACUUUGGAUGAGUGAAGUCCCCACGGAAAUAAGGAAAAAAUAUUCAGCAGCACCUCCCCUAGGCUUGCUUCAGCGCCAUGGAGAGGAUGAGCUUCUCUGUCUUUGUGGAGUGAAGUGGCUCGGGCUGGACGAGUGGAGGAGGAAGAAAGGCCUCUAUUCUGCAGCUUUAAGGGGAAAAGAUUUUAUCCCGGUUGGUAAAUCCAACUGGAAUAAAAGUAUGGCUCUUUUGUCCCGGUUGGAGUUUACUCCCGGUUGGUGGCUCCAACCGGGACUAAAACACCGUCCUUUUGUCCCGGUUGGUGAUUCCAACCGGGAGUAAACAUUUUGUCCCGGUUGGUACCUCCAACCGGGACAAAAGGAUGGUGCUUUUAUCCCAGUUGGUAAACAUUUAUUUUUUUCAGCAGCGUGUGGGCAAAAACACAAGGUUACUCGAGGACUAAGAUUCUAUACUUCCUAAUAUCAUGACAGAAUGUAUUCUGUACGUUGAAACAUGUGUCAGUCCAGUUUUGAGAUUCGGACCGUGUGCAGUAGCUCUUGAUUGACAAAUACAGAAAGCAUUGUCUAUGGAGAAGAUCAGACAUCAACAAUAAGAAGGCACCAAAAGCAGCAUGGGAAAUGGUCUGCCUGCCUAAAAAAGAGGGGGGUUUGGGAGUCCUUAACAUUCACACCCUAAUGAAGCUUUAUUACUCAAAUACCUUCAUAAAUUCUUCAACAGAGUUGAUAUUCCCUGGGUACAGUUGAUUUGGGAGAAAUAUUAUCCUAAUGGUAAGCUGCCAGGUACUACUAAAAUAGGCUCCUUCUGGUGGAGAGAUAUACUAAAGUUGAUGGAUAAGGUCAAAGGUUUAGCAACUGUCACAUUUAAUAAUGGCAGAACAUGUGCUCUUUAGUUUGAUAUGUGGAAUGAUUCUGUACCUGCUCAAAUUUAUCCUCAGCUCAUGUCUUUCACCGAAAGGAUAGAAAUAUCAAUACAGAAAGCCCAGGAAAUCGUAGAUAUUCAGCAGUUAUUUCACCUGCCAAUUUCCUCUCAGGCUUUGGAUCAACUUCUACAGCUGGCUGCCAGCCUAGAAAGGCUCACUUUGACCAGUAACUCAGACAUUUGGACUUAUAUUUGGGGAAGCCCCAUGUUUUCGUCAUCAAAGGCAUAUUGACAGCUCACUGGCCACAGGCAAAUUCACCCAGUUUUUCAAUGGUUGUAGAAAUCAAGAUGUCAAAACAAACAUAGGCUAGUUUUGAAGGAUAGACUUAGCACAAGAAAUAUGCUUAGGAGGAAACACAUGGUCUUGCCUUCAUAUGAAUGUGUUUUGUGCCAGCAAGGAACAGAAGAAACCCUUUUUCACCUUAUGUUGGGAUGCUCAUUUGCACAAGAAUGCUGGAUUCACCUAGGACUAUUUCCAAACCUGCAUGAUGACCCAUAUAUAAUUCUGCACAGCUUCAAGAAUCAACUACAAGUACCUUUCUUUAUGGAAGUUAUAAUCAUAAUAUGCUGGGCUAUUUGGAUGGCCAGGAAUGACUUGAUCUUUAAAGGCAUUAACCCCUCGGUCCAAGAGACAUUAUCCUUCUUUAGAGUGGUGUUCUCUCAAGUUAUCCAUCGAGUUAAGAAACUGUGGAAACCUAUCAUGACUACAUAGCUAGAGCAAACUUUGUAAUCUUCAUGAUUUUCUUCCUUUCUUUUUUUGUUCUUGAACCCUACUUUUUGUACUUGUUUGUCCUAAUUUUUAUAUAUAUAACCAGCAGGGGAGCUCCCCCUGUUUCAUCAAAAAAAACAUGUGUCAGUCCAGUUUUGAGAUUCGGACCGUGUGCAGUAGCUCUUGAUUAUGUCCUGUCGGUAUACAUGUACGGUGGGAGUCUACUGUACAGGUACAUAUGCGAUACAGUUAUAAAAAAAACGCACCGUCCCUCUUGCCGAUUCAAAUCCAUUUGAAGCCCCUCUCUCUCCUCUCACCCAUCCAUUCUCUCUCCCUCGAGAUCCGGCGACACAUCCACCGCAUCUGGCGCUGCCGGUGCCCAUCCAGCGGCGCUCACUCCAAAUCCGAUCUCGACCUUGAAGGAGGUGGCGGGGACGGCGGGCUUGGAGCACGGCCAACUGCUAGGGAGAGGCGCGCGGCCUUAGCCUCAGCACUUGGGCUGUGGAGAUGUGGCUGUUAGGACCGAAUCCGGCGUGUCAUACUUUAUUGUACUUUUUCAUAUAUUUUCAUGCGUGUAACGGUUAUUGUAUUUUUUCAUGCGUGUCAUGCUUAUUGUACUUUUUAAUAUAUUUUUUAACUGUUUAAUGGGAGCAAGUGGCGCUUGUUUGAACAUGUGGUGCAGAAUGAUCCACCUAAUGCGUGCAUCACCGGGGGCACAAUGAAGGCAUACUACUGAGAUGAUCAGUUGUGGCAUGCCAAGUCUAACUCUCCGUGGCUUGGUCAUUAAUAUAACUGUACAAGCAAGACGACUACCGCGAUUGACUAGCUUUGGUCGUAGGGCCCGCCUUCAUUUGGUCGCAGGACCCGCCUUCAUUUGUUGCUUUUGGUUGAGGAGAACGACCCCUGUGAUGGAGUUGGCCGCCAUUCUAUGGCAGUUUGCGUGUAGGUUGCUACCAAUCAAAUUAAGUGUGCCCCUUUCAAGCUUUGCAGGAUUCUAUGCUAGGUGGGGAUUUAGCUACUGUACGUUGUACUGUAGUGUUGUACUCUAAGCAUAAACUGGUCUCUUCCUUUAAUGUUAAUUGUAUGCUCCGUUGACCGACCUGGAGGCUAAUUCUAGCUUUCAAUUCUUGCAAAUGGGGACAUAGAUACUGGCACAACUUUAGAGGAAACACAUCGAUGCGAGACCAUUCCCGAUGGAAGUUUCGUUCUUUACAAAUGAGAUUCUACAUAAGCAAAUACGAUAACAUAGCGUUGAAAUUAUAGAGACAGCGGAAAUGAAUUUCAUCCGUAUGAAAUUUGGUUCACACGAUUUCCAAUACAAUGAAACUCUUUGAAAUAUCCAUGAAGGACUAGAGUUUAUUUCAUCAUAUCAUAUGUCCAAUCAAACGAUUCCAACAUGAAUUAAAUACUAUGGCCACCUACGAAAAAACAAAUUGAAACUUGCAUUAUUGAGAGCGAUUUAACAAAUCAUCAUGACACACUAGAUGCGCUACAAGAUAUGAUAUCUUUCCAACAGUAGUUUUGUAUGGUGUUUAUUAUAUUUUCUUUUAGUGGCCUUGUAUGGUGUCUAUUAUAUUUUCUUUUAGUGGCCCACAAUUUUCUUGUACAAUUUUCAUAUUUCCUAACAAUUUUAUCAAAUCACCAGCAAUGUAUUUCCCUACAGUAAUGUUGACUAGUUAUCCAAAUAUAUUAAAAACCAUUGACCAUUAUCCACUCGUAAAAUGAACUACUCCCUUCGUCUCACAAAGACUGUUCGUAUAGCUUCCAAAACCUGUCCCACAAAGAUUGUUUAUAUAACUUUCAGACCAUCCAACAAAGACCCUCGUAAUACCUUCUAGCCCAGUUAACGAAUCGAUCUACUCAUACCAUCGAUGUCCGAGCCAGACUCACUAAAUAAGAAAGGUUAAUAGGUCCGACAUUACUGCAAGCGUGUAUGCAUAAUUAAUUCUACUCGAUAAUCCAUCCGAUUAAGAAGAGUUAUUAAGGGUAUUUUGAACUUUUAGAAUUGCUACUAUCUUGUCUAAAAUUUCUAAACCUUUGUGAGACGGAGGGAGUAUGCGGAAAUGGUAGAAGUUUCGUACCGAUGACGUGGCACCCUCGGAAACAACUAACAAAAUGAAACUUGACAUUAAAAUUGUCCUGAGAGCAUAUAAUUUGCAAAUAUUUUGGAGGUGACAGAAGUAAUUCUUGACAGCUUUAAUUUGGGAUGGCGAAUUAUUGCAUCCAUUACCUGGGUUUGGAUCCUUGGGCUAAAGUUUAGCCCUUGUCACAUCGAAUGUUCGAAUGCUAAUUAGAAGGACUAAACAUGAGCUAAUUAUAAAACUAAUUGCAGAAGCCCAAGGCUAAUUCGCAAGACGAAUCUAUUAAGCCUAAUUAAUCUAUCAUUAGCAAAUGGGUACUGUAGCACCACGUUAUCAAAUUAUGGAUUAAUUAGGCUUAAUAGAUUCAUCUCGCGAAUUAGCCUCCAUCUAUGUAAUUAGUUUUGUAAUUAGCCUAUAUUUAAUACUCCUAAUUAGUAUCCAAAUUCGAUGUGACCGGGCUAAGGUUUAGCCCCUGGGAAACAAACGGGCCAAGUACAGGGGCUAAGCCCCUGUCAUAUCAGAUGUUUGAUACUAAUUAGGAGUAUCAAACAUAGUCUAAUUACAAAACUAAUUACACAGAUGGAGGCUAAUUCGUGAGACGAAUCUAUUAAACCUAAUCAGUCCAUGAUUUGACAAUGUGGUGCUAAAGUAACCAUUGCUAAUCAUGGAUUAAUUAGGCUUAAUAGAUUCAUCUCACGAAUUAGCCUAGGGCCGGGUUCUGCAAUUAGUUUUAUAAUUAGCUUAUAUUUAGUCCUUCUAAUUAACAUCCGAACAUCCGAUGUGAUAGGACGAUGUGAUAGGACUGAAGUUUAACCCGGGUAUCGGAAGCUAUUGCCACUUGCGCUCCCUCUUCAUGUCCUGACAUGUACGUGCAUGUUGUGACAGGCUGACAGCAUCUGCUGAACUAAUUAACGCGACCCAGAAAUGGAGCGGUCAAGCUACCCAUUACUCGGGCAGCAUGAGCAGUGACCACACGCUGGCAAAAGGCGAACCAGACAUCGGCCUCCUCCAUUAUUGCAAACGUUCGUUUAAUUUCUUUCAGAGUUUUGACAAAAUUUAAGGAACCAUGGAAGAGGACGUUGGAAGGCCGGAGGUGCUGAUGAUCAAUCGCUACGUGAGGCUUUGGACCGCCACGGGGAACAUUGUAAGCGCUCUGGGAUUCCUGGCGUUGCUGUGGUCCACCGUCGUGCUCCUCGGAGGCUUCAUCGACGAUCUCCUGCUCAAGGAGUUCUGGGUCCUCACUGCACUCAGCUUCCUCAUGUCAUUCAGGUACUACAUUAGCUUCCUCAUGUCAUUCAGGCACUACAUUAGCUUUCAUUUUCACGUGUACCAAAAAUAAAAUCCUUGUAUAGGUUAACGUGUACAGUUUGAGGUUAGCCUUUAGCUCUAGCAUAUGUAGUGCCAAACCAUGUUAAGAAUGUAUGAAGUUCUUUCACGAACUGAAUCAUCAAUUUCUUGUCAACAUUUUUAGGGUACCAUUCAAAAUCUAAGUUGUUUUAAUUUGAGGAUUCUUACAAUGGUACAGCUGUUCCUCGUAACCAAUGCCUACCAAUAAAAUAUAUGAUUUAAACAAUCCUUUGGGUCUCACUUAAUUGGAAAAUAAGAUUGGAAAAUAAGACUAUCAAAUGGAGGAAUUUAAUUAUUUGAAUGAAUUAGGAUAAUUUUUCACAUUCAUGGACCACGUUUUUAUAUUAGUGCGUUUAGUGCACCAAGAAAGCAGCAGGGAGCGGCUCUUGGACAUAUAAAUUCUAUUACUCGCUAAACAAACAACCGUAUCCUCUGCCGUUUUGUUUUAAAAAAACUAAACAACCUAGGUCUGACAUAAUUUGGUCUGACAUUAAUGAAAGCGUGCAUGCAAGCAUGUUUAAUUUUAACAUAAAUGAAGGCUAAUGGUCUGACAUUACUGCAAGCGUGCCUGCAUAAUUUUGUCUAGAAUUUUCUAAACGAACAGUAUUUGUGAGAUGGAAGGAGUAUGCGGAAAUGCUAGAAGUUUCGUACUGAUAACAUAAAUGAUGGCAGAUUAUUGCAUCCAAAACUUAUUAAUUUGAGUGGAAGCUAUUGCCACUUACUCUCCAUGUGCUGACAUGUACGUGCAUGUUGUGACAGCAUCUGCUGAACUAACGCGACCCAGAAAUGGAGCGGUCAAGCUACCCAUUACUCGGGCAGCAUGAGCAGUGACCACACGCAGGCAAAUCCCAUUGCCAAAGGCAAACCAGACAUCGGCCUCCUCCAUUAUUGCAAACGUUCGUUUAAUUUCUUUCAGAGUUUUCACAAAAAUUAAGGAACCAUGGAAGAGGACGUCGGAAGGCCGGAGGUGCUGAUGAUCAAUCGCUACGUGAGGCUUCUGGCCGCCAACGGGAACAUUGCAAGCGCUCUGGGAUUCCUGGCGUUGCUGUGGUCCACCGUCGUGCUCCUCGGAGGCUUCAUCGACGAUCUCCUGCUCAAGGAGUUCUGGGUCCUCACUGCACUCAGCUUCCUCAUGGCAUGCAGGUAAUACAUUAGCUUUCCUUCUAUGUAUGCCUGCCAUUAAUUGCCGUUGCGUCCGUCAAAACUUGAGUCGCCGUUAAUGUCAAAUUUUCACUCUAAUGGCCCCUCGGUUGACUGAUCGAUGAGAGACUUGCAAAAUGCAUAGUGAUUUGUUCUUGAACUAUGUUGUGGCUCUCCCGCUAGAGUGUCUACCUCUUCCAACUCCUAGAGAGAGAAAAAAAUGUCUUGUAAUUAGCCGUGGAGUGGCUGCCGCAAGCAGCUCAGUCCCAAUUCUGUGUGACACAUACAAUAUCCUGAAUUUUAAUGGUCAUAUUAUAGACAAAGACAACCUUAGCUUUUCCCUCACUAACCCAACAUAUUACGCAGGAUGGCGGAAAUUACUAACAACGAGCUCCGUAAAGGGAUUUAUAUGGAAGAGGAUGAAAUCAUUGAUACUCUCCGGCAACAGAAAUGGUUCGAGGCGCACAAGGUUGUAAUCGUGCUGCGUGUGGUGCAAGUACUGAAGUGGAUUUUUAUCGUGUGUUUUAUCCUGCUCUAUCUUGUUUCGCCAUUUGUGAACCUGGGGAUCGCAAUGUGGCGUCUUGUACGACGACAUUAUGGCGAUGCGGGUGGAGAUAUUGGCAACAGAUCAAAACUGAACGCCGCACUGGACAUCUUCUAUGUCCUAAUUCUGUUCCAGAGUUUGUUCGCCUUCUACUGCAUAGCCAUUGACUUGGUGGAGAAUAUAUUGAAAUCACGAACGGAAAAACACUGUGGGCUUGAAGAAAGGCGUAAAGGAAUCGUUUGGCGCUACGCUUCAGAAACAGCUAGGAAGUUCAGGAAGGACGGGGAGCUGCCUGGCAAUUGGAACUUGAUCGCAUACGGUGUAGAGAAGCUCGAGUCUGCAUCUGGGGAUGACCAUCUAUGGGGAGCAAGGGUGUUAGACCAGUUGUUCAGUAAGGAUAAGUCUGUAAGACAGGAGCUGCUAUCUUCCAGGAGCUGUAUCCAGAAUCUGAUCGGCAUGAUUGGUCGGAGAGGUACAGCUGAUAACGUCGAGAACAGAGAGCGUGCCGCAAGGAUUGUAGCACACCUUGCCAGUGACCUCAAUAUAGCUCACUUCCCGGGUACACUGCAAUGCAUCUGUUCCCUACUUGAAAGCUGUAAUACGCAAUCUUGUGAGCCACAAGCUACCGAUCCGUCGGAGGAGCCAGAGGACCAAAAUGGUGCUGACACAGUACUGCAGAUCAAGGACCAAACUGAAUAUGAAUCUGGAGGACCCAAAGAACUGGUUUCUCAAGGCCUGCUGAUUCUCGAGGGGCUCACACAGGACGAAGAGAACUGUGCAGAGAUAAGCAAACACCCAAGGCUGCUCUCUAAGAUCACAUCACCACUGCUGAUUUCUCAAGGCCUGCAGAUCCUUGAGAGGCUGACACAAGAUGAAGAAAACUGUACAGAGAUAACCAAACACCCAAGGCUGCUCUCUAAGAUCACAUCAACAGUGAGCAGCCAUAACUUCCUCAGCAAUACGCGAGACAACACAAUGGUUGAAAUGCUAAGCAGGUCACUCACAGUGGUGAACAGGCUACUUACCAGUCCUGGUGAUGGCGCCACAAGGCUGCGCCAGGAGAUGGCAGGUAACAAGGAAGCUGUCAGCAAUCUGGUGGCUAUUUUGGAGACUGACAGUGAAGGUGCCCAAGAACUGCAUGAACAAGUCCUGGAGGUCCUGGCAGAGUUAGCCUUUGAUGGUUCUUUCACAAAACCAGCUUUUGGUGAGUCUGAAUGCAUGCUCGACAAGCUUUUCAAGACCCUGCAACGCAUCUUCCUUGAGGAGAAGGAUGGCAAUGCUGUGGUGGGAGAAGCAGACAGAGAGAAAGACACCAGACUGAGGGGAAAAGCAGGGGAAGCACUCGCCAGAUUGCUUCCCGUUCGCGCUGCAAGAGAUGCUAAUAAUGUUGCUGGUAUACUUUCCAAGCAAGAAGAGAUCAACCUAUUGACCAAGGUAACGAGUAAUUCGUUAACUCCUUUCGAUAAUUUACAUACAGAUAAAAAUGGUGGCUAGAGAUGAAUUACAUCAAUCUGUAUCAUGCAUGAUACAAUUAUAACUUGCCGAUCCUCUAUAUAUGUUGUUGCAGGUGUUCGAUCACAUAACAGCUACAGGUGCAACCAUAGGUGCAAACAAUGAAAGGCAAUCUGAUGAAAGAAAUUUGUUGGCAGCCAUGUUAUCCCUCGUCGUGGUGAUAUGCAAUGAACACAUUAUCAGUAGAGAAGAUUUUGUUCGUGCCAUCCAUGAAGAUGCAGCACUGGUGAAGAAGCUCGCGCAGGUACUGAAAGUAAACAAGCAAUGCACGGCUGAGUGUUUGAGAGUAGCGAAGCUUACCUGCCAGGUGGUGAUAGCUAUGGUUCAAGCCAAGCCCAGCUUCGUCCAAGAUUUCAAUGAACAUAACUUCAAGGAAGAACUGACCGAGGCUUUGGAAAUCAUGUCGGAGGUUGAUGGCUGCAUGCUCUUUGCUUCUCUUGUGAAGGAAGCACAUAAACUCCUAAACAGCGCACAAGAACAUGGUAAAUGAUAUAUCUUCCUUGAACAGACUCAUUUCUUCAAAUUGAGACCACAAAGGGAAGCUCUUGACAAAUGGAACUUUGAUAGAGCUUUGUGUACUGUGUAGGCGGUAGCACGUUGACUUUCUGAUUACUUAUAGUUACUACUAUUGAUUGUUGCUGUCAGGUGUUCGUCCAACAGAAUUUCAUUAAUUAAGCUACCACGGCCUUCAGGUUGUGUUUGUGAUCAACAAUCACACUGAAAAACUGAGUAACCUUCAAGAAAUUGAAAUCCAUGAGUUGACAGGAUCUGAACAUGAAGUUUCUUUUGUGAAGCGACUAUUUGAUCGGGCAACAGCAGUGAACAAGGUGAUAAACUUCAGAGUCAUCAACCACACUGAAAGCAAGGCCAGGAAUAUGCAUGGAGAAUGAUGCAUCGUAACCACAAGAAUGUACGUGUUAUAUGCACACGAAGACUUCUAGUAGUAGAAUAUGAACCAUGCAUGAAGUUAUAUGUGUAUCAGAAUUUUGUAAUUUCUAUUUUGAUGCCUGCUGCAGUGCAUGACAACAUGAAAAUGCUAGCACGCAGCUCAUUGAAAAAUGUGGAAUCCAUUUACCUUAUGGUUUAUUCUUAUUAAUGUUGUGUUUCUUAC
Molecule: long non-coding RNA, 51391 nt
Filed under: Setaria italica (foxtail millet)
Lineage: Eukaryota; Viridiplantae; Streptophyta; Magnoliopsida; Poales; Poaceae
Description: long non-coding RNA (SITA_LNC000818)
Source: RNAcentral